Molecule: long non-coding RNA, 81556 nt
Filed under: Citrus x clementina
Lineage: Eukaryota; Viridiplantae; Streptophyta; Magnoliopsida; Sapindales; Rutaceae
Description: Citrus clementina (C. clementina) long non-coding RNA (CCLE_LNC004286)
Source: RNAcentral
AUAUCUUUGAAAUUGUCUAUAAAAUUUUAGAAUGGAAAUUGUUCUGCAAUACUAAAUCUUUGUUAUGAUCUUUUAUGAAUCCAAUAUAAAUGUUUUAUUCACGUAUUUGAUUAAGAUUAUCUAUGAAUUAUGCGGAGACCACCUCUUGAGAUUGUAUGGGGGCCCCCUCUCGAGGGCUAAAAUGCCACGAAGUGCCACGUAUAGUGCAAAGCGCCAUGUGUAAUUUGCUACAAAUGAAAAAUGAAUUUAAAUAUUUUGGUUCAUUGUCCAUAGUCAUUCCGAUUCUAAUUCUGAUCGUAUUAUACGAUAUAGAUAUAUUUAUGUUCUAUACCAGUACUGAGUUUCUAUUCGAAGUGUGCACACGAUAUUAUGAUUCUGGCGGGUCACCAGGAUUAUAGGUGACACUAUGUGACAUGAGCUAACUUUUUGUGUCCUGUGAAUGUGUUAUGUGAUUUGCUGUCAAAAGUGACUAUGCUUUUGAAAUUAUGAAUUAUUAUGAAUUUAUGUUAUUUUAUCGUGAUAUGUCAUUUAUGAAAAUUACGAAUUAUGAUAUAUGUUUUAAAUAAAAAAAGAAGGUUUGCAAUAUUUUUUGUAUUGAUAGGCCUAGUGAAUUAGGAAUUGUUUUACUUACCGAGUUGACGACUCACCUCUCAUCAUUACUUUUUACAGAUUAAGUGACUUGUUCAGAAUUGUGGUUAUCUUUGGCACAAGAGAUUUAUUUACUUGCUAAGUUAAAUAAAAGAAGGAUGAAUUUCUUUAGCCUUUAAGUUUGUUGGUCUUGUGAAUUUGUAUUUGGAGAGUUUUGAGCCGUUUGGUACUUUUAUGACUUGGGAGAAAAUGUCAAAUAUCUUAUUUGUGUAAUUGUUAAUUUAUUUAAAAAUUUUUGAGGUAUUUCAGUUCAUGAAUUUGUAUAAAAAAUUUUGAUUUGUUAGUAACCUCUUACUGCCACGUGUUCCGCACAUGAUAAUUUUGGGGUGUUACACAAUGCAUCUAAUCGGGAGGUCUACAAUGACAGGGCUGUGCAAAAUUUCAAGUUUGAUGUGAAAGCAUGGGUUUGUGUUUCUGAUGAUUUUGAUGUUCUUAGCAUUUCGAGGGCUCUUCUCGAGUCAAUCACCUCCAAAACUUGUGAUCUCAAGACGUUGAAUGAGGUGCAGGUUAAAUUGAAAAUUGCUGUGGAUGGAAAAAGGUUCUUGCUUGUAUUGGAUGACGUUUGGAACGAGAACUACAACUUGUGGGAAAUCCUGAAAGCUCCAUUCAUGGCUGGUGCACGAAAUAGCAAAAUAAUUGUCACCACACGCCAUUCAAAUGUUGCAAUGUUGCGUCAACGAUGGGAUCCGUUGAACAUUAUAAUCUUAAGCUUCUGUCAGAUGAAGAUUGCUGGUCUGUUUUUGUGAAGCAUGCGUUUGAGAGGAGAGAUGCCGGUGCUCAUCAAUUUUCAGAAUUAUUUCGUAAGAAAAUUGUUGCAAAGUGCGGAGGCUUACCGCUGGCAGCAAGCACUCUUGGCGGCCUUCUACGCACUAGGCACACAGAAGAUGCGUGGGAGGAUAUAGUGAGCAGCAAAAUGUGGGAUUUGCCUCAACAAACUGACAUUCUCGCCGUGUUAAGGUUGAGUUACCAUUAUCUUCCUUCUCAUUUGAAGAGAUGUUUCACUUAUUGUGCAAUUUUUCCCAAAGAUUAUGAGUUCGAGAAGAAUGAACUUGUUUUUCUGUGGAUGGCUGAGGGUAUGAUUCAACAAUCAAGGACAGAUAAACUAUUGGAAGAUUUGGGCAAUGAGUUUUUUUGUGAUCUAUUGUCUAGGUCGCUUUUCCAACAAUCAAGCAGAGAUGUUCGUAAAUUUGUAAUGCACGAUCUAGUUCAUGAUUUAGCUCAAUUGGUUUCUGGAGAUACAAGUUUCUGGCUGGAAGAGGCAAAUAAGCAGUUAAGAACAUUUGAAAGGAUUCGUCAUUUUUCUUAUCCUUGCGCUUGGUAUGAAGGAAAAAACAAAUUUCACGGUUUGAAUAAAGCUCCAGGUCUGCGGACAUUUUUGCCUCUAAAUGCAAGAGGUCUUUCAACUCGUAAUUAUAUAACCAACAUGGUUCUUCUUGACUUGCUGCCAAAGCUGAAAAAGUUGAGGGUGCUAUCUUUGGAAGGAUACUGCAUUGCUCAUAUACCAAAUUCUAUCAAGGAUUUGAAACUUCUAAGGUACAUCAAUCUUUCUCGUACACCCAUCGAGAGUUUACCUGAGUCAAUAAGUUCACCGUUCAACUUGCAGUUUUGCUGUUAAAAACCUGUCCUUGUCUACAGAAGUUGUCUUCUAACAUGAGAAAUUUAUUAAAUUUGCAUCAUCUUGACAUAGGGGGUAGUUUUAUAACAGAGAUGCCAUCGGGAAUCAAUAGGUUGAAAUUUCUGCAGACGUUGUCUGAUUUUAUUGUGGGCAGGGGUAUCGGAUCUGGUUCGAAGGAUUUGAAGAAUUUAACUUUCCUUUGUGGAAAACUUUGUAUUUCGAGAUUAGAAAAUGCGAAUGAUUCAUGGGAUGCAAGAGAAGCUUCAUUGUGUGAUAAGAAGGGUCUGGAAGAAUUGUCAUUAGGAUGGGGCUCUCCAUUUCACUCAAGAAAUGAGGUAGCAGAAGAAAAGGUACUUGACAUGCUGCAACCACAUACAAACAUAAAGAAGCUUGAAAUCACACGAUAUAGUGGCAGAAAAUUUCCAAUAUGGUUAGGGGACCCAUCAUUCUCUAACAUGGUUGCUUUAAAAUUGAUAGGAUGUGAAAAUUGCACAUCCUUACCUGCGGUGGGGAUGUUGGUUUCCCUGAAAGAGCUUACAAUUCAACGAAUGCUUGUACUCAGAAGUAUAGGGUCUGAAAUUUGUGGAAACGAUUACUCAACGCUUUUUCAAUCCUUAGAGACUCUUUUUUUCAGUGAUUUACCGGAAUGUGAGUUCUGGGAUACCGGCAACCAGACUGGGUAUGUUGAAAUAUUCCCUCGCCUCGUUGAACUGUCCAUUUUUGGAUGCCCCAAACUAUCUGGAAAAUUACCUGACCAUCUUCCUGCAUUAGAGACCCUUGUUGUCAGCAAUUGCGAAGAGUUGGUAGUUUCAUUCUCAAGCUUUCCUUUGCUCUGCAAAUUGGAAAUUUAUAGAUGCAAAGGACUGGUUUGCAGCUCUCCGAUUGACUCUAAGUUGACAAAGUGUAUGGCUAUUUCAAGCUGUUCAUUAGACAUAUACGGAUGCAAGGGGAUGGUAUACAAUAGUCCACUUCACUCUAAAUCACUGUCGACGCCUGUGACUAUUUCAAAUAUUUUAGAGUUUGGAAAAUUGUUAAAAGGAUUUCUGCCAGCAGAGUUUCUGGGGAUUAGCGAUUCUCAAGAUAUUCAGUUAUUGAGGCCGCAGUUUAAGGGUAUGCAAUUUAGGGAGGAGGCAGUACAAGGGCUAUGGAUUAUCGUGCCCCCUGAAGAGGUAUCAACUGAAGAAAAUUGCACGAGUCUGGUUUCAUUUCCAGAAGUAAAAUUUUUCCCGAUCAAUCAGCUUGAUCUUGAAAUUGAAAAUAGUGGAGCUUUAAAAUCCUCACUUGAGGGAAUUAUGUACAACUGUGCACAACUGAAAAGUUUGAACAUUAAAGGUUGUGAUUCUCUAGAAUUCAUUGCAAGAGGCAAGCUGCCUUCGUCUUUAGAAUGGCUUCAAAUACUUGAUUGUAAGAAAUUGCGGUGUUUGAUAGUUGAUGAAGAGGAUGCUUCUGUUGCUUCUACCUCAUUAUCUUCUUUAUCAUUGGCUCUCAAGUGGCUUUAUAUUAGCGGCUGCUCAGAGCUCACCCAUUUACCAUCAAGAACUACACCAUUGCCGAAAGAGCUUGAAUUUCUAAACAUUAGGGAUUGUCCAAAAUUAGAGUCAAUAGCUGAGAGCUUUCAUGGUAACGGACGUCUUAAACGGAUAGUCAUCUCCGAUUGUGGAAAUCUAAAAUCCAUAACGAAGGGCCUACAGAAUCUUAGCUGUCUUGAGUCAGUCAAAAUCGUGAGUUGUCCAAGUCUUGUUUCUUUUCCAGAAGGAGGGCUUCCCAGCACUGUUGCGAUUGUUUUUAUUGACGGUUGUGAAAAGCUUAAAGCCCUACCUGAAGACAUGCACAAGCUCAGCUACUUUCAAAUUUUAAGAAUCAGGGAAUGUCCAAGUAUUGUAUCAUUUCCUGAAGCAGGUUUUCCUACCAACCUAACAUCACUUGUAAUUACUGAUAUCAAAAUGUACAAGGCAAUUAUCCAAUGGGGCUUGCACAGGCUUACAUCUCUUCUACGCCUUUACAUAAAUGAGGGUGAUAAUGCUGAGUCUUUUCCAGAUGAGAGGUUGGGAAUAAUAUUGCCCACCUCUUUAACUGCACUGAGGAUUUCUGGAUUCCCAAAUCUGAAAUGCCUAUCUGCAAUGGGUUUUCAAAGCCUGGCCUCACUCGAAUCUCUGAGUAUAUCAAAUUGCUCGAAGCUCAAAUCCUUUCCUGAGGUGGGCCCGCCAUCCUCCCUUUUGGUACUACAAAUUCAAGAUUGUUCUUUGCUGAAAAAACAUUGCAAAAGGCAAAAAGGAAAAGACUGGUCCAAGAUUGCUCACAUCCCUUGUAUUAUGAUAGAUGGCAAAUUCAUCUUCGAUUAAGAGGAGAAAGAAUGAGCUCUGUUUAAUAUCAGAAGGAAGAAUUCAGGUAUGCCAAGUCCUAUUAUUACGAUUACUAAAAACACGUUGUUAAAUUAUAACACAAAUUUUGAUUUUCAAUUUCAAUAUCAAUCCUCUGCCUUCAACUGCAAAUGGCACUAGAAUAUUUUCAUUUUUACUUUUUCAGAUACUAUGAUGAGGCAGUUUGACUUGAUGAUGCUGUAAGUUUUUUAUGGUAAUGCACAAAUGGUUGGUACUUUUUCUGUUGAUUAUUUACAGUGUAGUUCAGUUGACUUUAGUACUAUGUAUCUGAAAAUUCUCAGUGAUUUAAUACUUUUUUUCAUUUUAACUCAUCAGAUUUAAUGCGGUCCCAACAAGUUACUCACACACCGGUGCUGUGUUAAGGUAAUCAGUACAUUUUCAGUUGCGUUAACUCGAAUAACUUGUAUCUGAAAUAUUGCUGUCGUAAUUUCUUUUCAAUUUAUAGUUUAGAUCAUAGUCUGGCAUGUAGUUUCGAUGGCGAAUUUUUUUUUUGUUUUUUACAUUUUAUUAUUUUUUCAGAGCAACUCAAUUAGACAGUUCCAACCCAGAAAUUUUUUAAUGUAUUUUAGUGCAAUCGUAGUUGUCAAGUGAAAUUUUCAUAUUAUGAUGAUCUCAAUGCUAACUACAUUUCCAACUCUUUUAAGUUUUUUGAACUCUAGCGGGUGAAAGUCAAUGGAAAGAAGUUUCUGAACUUUUCCAAUGAUCAAUGCAAUUUGCUUCUAAGGAUAUAACACGGGUCUUCACUUAUUUCAAGUUGCAGAUAUGAUUCUAUCUUUCUUCUGCUGUAAUUUCAGAGGGCAAGUUUGCUCAUAUUCCUUGAGUUGACGUGGAAGAAAGCAUAAGGAAAGCUCUGAGACAAUCCACAUCAAAAUGUUCACCCACUUUUUCACAGUUUGGAAUCGACUACACUGCCUUCAAAAUGACUUUCAAAUGAAAGGGUAGAAAGUUAAUCAUACAGGGUUCUAAAGUCGGUUAAAAGUUAGUUUUAAAGCUUCUGAUUUUUUCUGAAUAGGCUGACUAGUUAAUAAGCCAAUAAAAUGUGCCAAGAAAUAUCCCUCUGUAGUGGAUCAUCACUUUGCUUGAUUCUUGCUUUGAUUUAGUCUUUGUAAUCUUGUAAUUGCCAUUAUUAAGCUAGUGAAUAUAGAACAAUGGCUGCUUUUGCACCCAUGGAUGUAGGUCAUUUUGACCGAACCAUGUAAAUCUGUGUCUUUGCUCUCUGCGCCUCUCAUUUAAUUUGUGUUUGCUGAGAUUGAUUGCUUUUGUGCAGUUUAAUUCUUGGUAAAAGCUCAGCUUAAUAAUCUCUGUUGAUACGAGAUUCUGGUUCUCCUCGUUCUACGACCAGGGUCUCUGCUCGAUCAACUUCACCACGAACUGGAUCUCUCCUCGUAAAGCUUCUUCUCCAGAGGUUCCUGUGCACAUAGACAGGUCAGAGUACGCCGGUUGUUUUCCCGGUGAAAACCCUCCGACGCUCAAGUCAGAUAUGAAGGUUCGGGGAACGCUUGCCACAAAUCUUAUGGCUGUUAGGUUGUUUUCUCUCUUUUAGAAUCAAAAUUGCUAACCCUUUUACCUUCGUUGGCUACCUUUUUAUAGGCUUCCUCUGAGUCCCGGUCUUUCGCAGUUUACGCCCGUUGUUCUCCCCACGCUCGGAUGUGGAUGUCCCAUUAUCGUCAUGAUGGGCGAAUGGAGAUGGACCUCGUGCCUUGAUUCUCGGAUAGGAAUGCACGUCUCGUCAACUGCCGUUGACCGGGUCUCCUCGCCUCGAACCCUAGCGGGAGUGACCCUAUGCCUCUAGCAAGGGUUCGGCCUCGCGAAUGGCAUAUUCGUGGACGAGCAGAAUAUUCCUGCUCCUGUUCCCUUGCUACCUGGCUCUUACAGGAGACACCUGCUCGCAGAAUUCUGCCACCAAACAUCUGCUCAUCACGUCUGGUCUCACCGAAGUAUUUCCCUCAAACACCGGUCCCCCAGUUUCUGGUGUUGGGUAAUGUAAUGGACCAGCAGUAGAAACUCAGUGGUUCUUGGUCGCGUGGGACUGGAAAAGGCUGCCAAGAGUCGUGUCGCAUUUAAUUGCAGAUGAAGUGAUGUGGCGGGAAUCAGCCCCUCCAUUUGAAUUUCAAAUCUACGGUUGCAAGAUUCUCGGGAUAUGUGUCAUUAAAUGCUGGCAAUCCAAAAGUUUGCUCCUCAGUAAGAAAACCCAAAGUCCUUAGACGCGAACUCGUCAUUCUCUCCCUUCUUGUCUCUCCGGCGAAUGACCCUCGGCAUUGAAGCUUUCAUCCUCGCCUCUCUCUAACCGAGUCCCUGCUUCAGGUAUUUCUUCUAUUUUCUCGGUCUUAGUUAGUUGUAGAUAAUUUCUUUUCUCUCUGCUUUGCUUGAGGUUGUAGUUGGCGGUGGUGUUUUGGUUAGAACUUAGGAUAUAUCGAAGGGUAAGGAGAAAGUCGUUGAGAUUGGUGACGACGAACUAGGUUUCUUGCCUAGUCUGCUCGCUGAUUCUGCUUUUGACCCUGGGGUCCCCUUAGAACCCACUAGGUCUAGUGUCGGGACUAGCGCUAGGAGGAUGUCCCCCCAAACGACCUCCACGAGCGGAAGUAGUGGUGAAGAGGGACCUUCUGGCUCGGAAGACACUUUAAGUGAGGAUCAAAGAGGUGAUUCUGGUGAGGGAUCUUCACCAGGAGCGCCGCGACCAGAGGGGCGUAGUACAGUAGGAGGUAGAGCCUCGUCGCGGGAUUAUGCUAUUGAUUACAUGACCUGCACGACCACAUUCAACGAGCUGGAUGACCUCCGGCUCAGGUAUAGCAUUCCUGGUGAAAUUCCUCUCAAGAUCCCAGGAAAGAAGGAUACACCUAGCCGGCCUCCUAGGGGAUACGUUACCCUGUUUCUGGAAAGCUUUAAGUUUGGGCUAAGGUGUCCCUUGCAGCCUUACUUUGCCCGGAUACUUAACGGGCUAAAUCUGGCUCCUGGUCAGCUGAACCCCAAUGGGUGGAGAGUGCUCUCUGGUCUGUUCAUAUUGUGGGACAGAUGUUGCCAAAGCGAGCCCACGGUUGAUGAGGUCAAGCACCUGUACCAGCUGAAGAGCAGCCCUAAAAAUACCGGCUGGUACUACUUCCAAUCUAGUACCAAGAGCAGGAAACCCAUAACUGAUCUUCCAACUGGUGGUGGUGGGACUUGGAAGAGGAAAUUUUUUUUUGCUGGGGGUCCUUGGGGUCAAGUUGCACAAAUAGACGGGAAGGAUUGUCGCGUCCCACCCCGUUUCACGGUCCCAGGUUGCCUGCUCGCUUUAGAUGUCUUGUAUCCAUAAUUGUUCUUGCUGUGUUGGUUUGUCUCUAACCAAGUGUCUGUUUGUGCUGUAGUUUCUUGGGGUGUUCAUUUCCCGCUCAAACCUGACCAACUCAAAAGGGUCGAGGCCGUAUUGGUUAAUUCCUGCCCGAGUCGAGAGCUGUUAACCACCUACAACCUGCUCGAGUCUCGUUUGGUGCCCCCUGGCCAUAAGAUGGAGGACGCAGUGAUUGGAGCUCUGACCAAGAAACGUUCUCGACCUCCAACAACCAAGCGGGACCAGAACAAAGAUGCUCCUGCAACGAAGCGAAAGAACAUCGUGCAGCAGGUUCCUCCCUUGCAGGCUCUUCCUCCUACUAAAGUCGGUGAGACCAGACGUGAUGAGCAGAUGUUUGGUGGCAGAAUUCUGCGAGCAGGUGUCUCCUGUAAAAGCCAGGUAGCAAGGGAACAGGAGCAGGAAUAUUCUGCUCGUCCACGAAUAUGCCAUUCGCGAGGCCGAACCCUUGCUAGAGGCAUAGGGUCACUCCCGCUAGGGUUCGAGGCGAGGAGACCCGGUCAAUGGCAGUUGGCGAGACGUGCCUUUCUAUCCGAGAAUCAAGGCACGAGGUCCAUCUCCAUUCGCCCAUCAUGACGAUAAUGGGACAUCCAUAUCCGAGCGUGGGGAGAACAACGGGCGUAAACUGCAGAAGACCGGGACUCAGAGGAAGCCUAUAAAAAGGUAGCCAACGAAAGUAAAAGGGUUAGCAAUUUUGAUUCUAAAAGAGAGAAAACAACCUAACAGCCAUAAGAUUUGUGGCAAGCGUUCCCCGAACCUUCAUAUCUGACUUGAGCAUCGGAGGGUUUUCGCCAGGAAAACAACCGGCGUACUCUGACCUGUCUGUGUGCGCAGGAACCUCUGGAGAAGAAGCUUUACGAGGAGAGAUCCAGUUCGUGGUGAAGUUAAUCGAGCAGAGACCCUGGUCGUAGAACGAGGAGAACCAGAAUCUCGCAUCAACAUUUUGGCGCCAUCUGUGGGGAGCUGAGCAAAAAGCUUCUGUUGAUAGCAAAAAGAGGAGUGAAGCAAGUGAAAAGCAAUGGAGACAGGAGGAAGUAGUGCACAAGGGGGUGAUUUGAGGCUUAACGAUUCCGUGACGCUGAGAGAGAUAGCCAGUGAAGCACGGGAAAAAGCCAUGUUCGACCGGAUGGAACGGAUGGAAAAGCAGAUGGAGACCCUGACAACCAUCCUGCAUGAGCUGCGGAGUGAACGCAGGGUAACCCAGGAGGAAAGGGUGAGAGGUGGUGGAGUGGCACCAGGUCCUGAUAGUGCGAGGAGAAGUCAAACCACCGGGAGAUUUGGUGGUGAGAGAGAUAACAUACCUCUGCGGGGAGAACUUCAUAGAGAGGAAGAGCAGUCCCUAGCAAGACAGAUUUUUGACGAGGACGACGGGGUGGCGAAUGCAGAGGAAACGGAGUUGAGGCAACACUUGCAUGAUGUAGAGCAAGAGCGGGAUCAAGUUGCUGCACGUGACCCUGGUCGUGCAGUGCAGCUGAAGGAGGAAGUGCGCAGACUAGCGCAGAUAAUUGACGACAUGCAAGGAAGGAACAGAGCUCCUAGUUGGAAGAUAAUGCUGAACGGAGAAUCACCGCUCGCAGCAGAGAUCAUGAGGGCAAUUAUUCCAAGGGAUUUCCGCCUCCCAGACCUUAGAUACGCGGGAAGAACUGACCCGCUGGUGCACAUAGAGCGCUUCAACGACAUAACUGAGGUACAAGGAUUAUCUCAAUCCCAAAGGUGCAGGGUGUUCCCACUAUCCCUUGAGGGACGUGCACGAGAGUGGUACAGAAAACUUCCUCGGGGCAGCAUUAAAACCUUCGAUCAGAUGUGCCAGGAAUUCGCAGAGCAGUUUAGUGGGGCGAUGGCACCAGAAGAUGACAUGAUGGAGCUGAAAAGCAUGAAACAGGGGGAGCAAGAAACCCUUCGGGAAUUCAUCAAGAGGUUUCAUCGUGCUGUCCUCGAUUUGGGAGCCUUCAACCAUCCUCAGGCAUUAAGGGGAUUGAAAGAGGGAGUGAAGAUAGGAAGGUUGUGGUACAACUUGAGAAGCCCAGCUAUUCACUCAUAUGCGGCCGCAUACGAGCAAGCUAAAAGAGACAUAGAGAUCAAGGAAGAAAAGGCGGCUCAGAUUAAGACUGACCAGCUAGAGGGGUUGGAAAAGAAAGAGAAGAGGGCACCACCAGGGAAUGGGCCGAUCAGGAGGAGGGACCACCAGGCCUCAGGUAGUGGAGCAGGAGGUCGGGUAACAGCUUACCAGCCACAUCAGAGGCCACCACAAUAUCAGCGCAGCAGGGCGCAGCCUCUUCGUUCCCCAGCUAGGGAGCCUUGGAGAAGGCAUGAUUCGACAUAUGGUGGUCUUCAUCAACACUCCCACGCCAGUAGAGGGAGCAGACCAGAAGUGCUGCCACUACCCCCAACUCAAAACGAAGCAAAUAGAGAAAUGGCAGUACACCUGAUCGACCAGAACCAGGACUACGGGCAGUAUACUUCAUUGAAGAUGUCCCUGGAUGAGGUGUACGAGGCCAUAAAGGAGCGAGGAUUGCUGUACCUCCCUGCCCAAUAACAAAGCUACCCGGCAGGAGAGAUAGGGAACGCUAUUGUAAGUUCCAUGGCACUCAUGGCCAUACCACAGCAGACUGUAGAGAUCUCAAGACCCAGGUAGAAGAUUUGGUGAGAAAUCGGUAUCUGGACGAGUUUAUAGAUGGGACAUUCCCAAUGGUAGCAUCAACAAAUGAAGGGGAGCAGAGUGACAGGAAUUUGAGGCGCGAGCAGCCUACAGUAAGGAUGAUAGCUGAGGGCCCGACAUUGGCUGGAGAUUCCAACAGGUCGAGGAAGAAUUAUGCUAGAUACGCCAUGACCAGCAAAAGGGUAUUCUUCAACACCCCAGCAGCCAAACGUGCAAGAGUUAGGCAAGUGCCAAUCAUGUGGACAGAUGAGGAUGAGGAAGGCAUUUUAUACCCUCACGAGGAUGCUUUGGUCAUCGAGGCCACUGUUGCUAGCAAGAAGUUUGACAGGAUACUGGUUGACACAGGGAGCUCAGUUGACGUAUUGUUUAAGUCAACCCUGGAGGAGAUGGGAAUAGCAAACCGGAAGCUGGAAUAUACCAACACCUCCUUGAAAGGGUUUGGAGGAGGAAAGCUGGUCCCUCUGGGCGUGGUCGAGCUGCCUAUCACGAUUGGGAGCUCCCCGACGGAAAGGACAAUGAUACUGGACUUUGUGGUCGUGGAUGAAGAAGGUCCUUACCAGAUGAUCUUAGGUCGGCCGUUUCUAAGGAUGAGCAAAGCGGUAUUAUCCAUCCAUUAUCUGGCUCUCAAGUACCGGGUGAACGGGGUAGUUGGAGUGGUACGAGGAGACCAGAGGAUCGCAAGAAGCUGCUACUCCUCGGCAGCAAGGGAAGCAAUGCAGAUAACAUCCCUCGAUACCCGAGUAGAAAACAAGAAGGGCCACAUAGAGUCAAGCAGAUGGUGGGACCCGGGGAUUACAAGCUGGUUCGCACGGACGACCACGAGGUGAAAUGCCCAUGGAACGCAGCACACCUCCGAAAAUACUUCCAGUAAGACUUGUUCACAUUUUAAAGCAAUUUCUGCUCGUGCUCUUUAUCUUUUAUUUUUAUGUUUUACGUCAAAGCAAGUUCAUGUAAAAUCAAAACCUGCAAUUAAUGGAACGUCGAGGAAUGUCAUUCACUUGAAACUGUGAUAAAUUUUCUAAGGCAUGCCAAGGCUCACCAAGUCUCAAAGCCUGUUUUAUGGCGAGACAGAAGCCAAGCAAGCCAGGAUCUGCUCGGCCACGAGAAGGCUAGCAGAAUCCCAAGCUUUGAAGAAAUCAUCUAAAGCAUGCAAAGGCUCACCAAGUCUCCAAGCCUGUUUUAUGGCGAGACAGAAGCCAAGCAUGCCAGGAUCUGCUAGGCCACGAGAAGGCUAGCAGAAUCCCAAGCUUUGAAGAAAUAAUCAAAGGCAUGCAAAGGCUCGACAAGUCUCAAAGCCUGUUUAUGGCGAAACAGAAGCCAAGCAUGCCAGGAUCUGCUCGGCCACGAGAAGGCUAGCAGAAUCCCAAGCUUUGAAGAAAUCAUCUAAGGCAUGCAAAGGCUCGACAAGUCUCAAAGCCUGUUUUAUGGCGAGACAGAAGCCAAGCAUGCCAGGAUCUGCUAGGCCACGAGAAGGCUAGCAGAAUCCCAAGCUUUGAAGAAAUCAUCUAAGGCAUGCAAAGGCUCGACAAGUCUCAAAGCCUGUUUAUGGCGAGACAGAAGCCAAGCAUGCAAGGAUCUGCUCGGCCACGAGAAGGCUAGCAGAAUCCCAAGCUUUGAAAAAAUCAUCUAAGGCAUGCAAAGGCUCGACAAGUCUCAAAGCCUGUUUAUGGCGAGACAGAAGCCAAGCAUGCCAGGAUCUGCUCGGCCACGAGAAGGCAAGCAGAAUCCCAAGCUUUGAAGAAAUCAUCUAAGGCAUGCAAAGGCUCGACAAGUCUCAAAGCCUGUUUUAUGGCGAGACAGAAGCCAAGCAUGCAAGGAUCUGCUCGGCCACGAGAAGGCUAGCAGAAUCCCAAGCUUUGAAGAAAUCAUCUAAGGCAUGCAAAGGCUCGACAAGUCUCAAAGCCUGUUUAUGGCGAGACAGAAGCCAAGCAUGCCAGGAUCUGCUCGGCAACGAGAACGCUAGCAGAAUCCCAAGCUUUGAAGAAAUCAUCUAAGGCAUGCAAAGGCUCGACAAGUCUCAAAGCCUGUUUAUGGCGAGACAGAAGCAAAGCAUGCCAGGAUCUGCUCGGCCACGUGAAGGUGAGCAGAAUCCCCAAGCAUCGAAGAAGUCACUAAGGCAUGCAAAGGCUCGCCAAGUCUCAAAGCCUGUUUAUGGCGAGACAGAAGCCAAGCAUGCCAGGAUCUGCUCGGCCACGAGAAGGCUAGCAGAAUCCCCAGCUGUGAAGAAAUUACCUAAGGCAUGCAAAGGCUCGCCAAGUCUCAAAGCCUGUUUUAUGGCGAGACAGAAGCCAAGCAUGCCAGGAUCUGCUCGGCCACGAGAAGGCUAGCAGAAUCCCAAGCUUUGAAGAAAUCAUCUAGGGCAUGCAAAGGCUCACCAAGUCUCAAAGCCUGUUUUAUGGCGAGACAGAAGCCAAGCAUGCCAGGAUCUGCUCGGCCACGAGAAGGCUAGCAGAAUCCCAAGCUUUGAAGAAAUCAUCUAGGGCAUGCAAAGGCUCACCAAGUCUCAAAGCCUGUUUUAUGGCGAGACAGAAGCCAAGCAUGCCAGGAUCUGCUCGGCCACGAGAAGGCUAGCAGAAUCCCAAGCUUUGAAGAAAUCAUCAAAGGCAUGCAAAGGCUCGACAAGUCUUAAAGCCUGUUUAUGGCGAAACAGAAGCCAAGCAUGCCAGGAUCUGCUCGGCCACGAGAAGGCUAGCAGAAUCCCAAGCUUUGAAGAAAUCAUCUAAGGCAUGCAAAGGCUCGACAAGUCUCAAAGCCUGUUUUAUGGCGAGACAGAAGCCAAGCAUGCCAGGAUCUGCUCGGCCACGAGAAGCCUAGCAGAAUCCCAAGCUUUGAAGAAAUCAUCUAAGGCAUGCAAAGGCUCGACAAGUUUCAAAGCCUGUUUAUGGCGAGACAGAAGCCAAGCAUGCCAGGAUCUGCUAGGCCACGAGAAGGCUAGCAGAAUCCCAAGCUUUGAAGAAAUCAUCUAAGGCAUGCAAAGGCUCGACAAGUCUCAAAGCCUGUUUUAUGGCGAGACAGAAGCCAAGCAUGCCAGGAUCUGCUCGGCCACGAGAAGGCUAGCAAAAUCCCAAGCUUUGAAGAAAUCAUCUAAGGCAUGCAAAGGCUCGACAAGUCUCAAAGCCUGUUUAUGGCGAGACAGAAGCCAAGCAUGCCAGGAUCUACUCGGCCACGAGAAGGCUAGCAGAAUCCCAAGCUUUGAAGAAAUCAUCUAAGGCAUGCAAAGGCUCGACAAGUCUCAAAGUCUGUUUAUGGCGAGACAGAAGCCAAGCAUGGUAGGAUCUGCUUGGCCACGUGAAGGCGAGCAGAAUCCCCAAGCAUCGAAGAAGUCACUAAGGCAUGCAAAGGCUCGCCAAGUCUCAAAGCCUGUUUAUGGCGAGACAGAAGCCAAGCAUGCCAGGAUCUGCUCGGCCACGAGAAGGCUAGCAGAAUCCCCAACUGUGACGAAAUUACCUAAGGCAUGCAAAGGCUCGCCAAGUCUCAAAGCCUGUUUAUGGCGAGACAGAAGCCAAGCAUGCCAGGAUCUGCUCGGCCACGAGAAGGCUAGCAGAAUCCCAAGCUUUGAAGAAAUCAUCUAAGGCAUGCAAAGGCUCACCAAGUCUCAAAGCCUGUUUUAUGGCGAGAUAGAAGCCAAGCAUGCCAGGAUCUGCUCGGCCACGAGAAGGCAAGCAGAAUCCCAAGCUUUGAAGAAAUCAUCUAAGGCAUGCAAAGGCUCACCAAGUCUCAAAGCCUGUUUUAUGGCGAGAUAGAAGCCAAGCAUGCCAGGAUCUGCUCGGCCACGAGAAGGCAAGAAGAAUCCCAAGCUUUGAAGAAAUUACCUAAGGCAUGGACAGGCUCACCAAGUCUCAAAGCCUGUGUUAUGGCGAGACAGAAGCCAAGCGUGCCAGGAUCUGCUCGACCACGCGAAGGCGAGCAGACUCCAAAGCAUUCGAAAAAAUUUCUAAGGCGUGCAAUGGCUCGUCAAGUCUCAAAGCCUGUUUUAUGGCGAGACAGAAGCCAAACAUGGCAGGAUCUGCUCGACCGCGCGGAGGCGAGCAGAAUCCCAAACAUCGGAAAGUUUUCCAAGGCAGGUGGCAAAACCAUAUGCCAAGCCCGAUCCUGCUCGACCAGACAAAGACGAGGAGAUUCUCAAACGGAAAAAUAAUUCAUGAUUACAACUCAAGCAAGUAAUCAAAAGCAGUUUUUCAUUAAUCUGUUAAUAACCAACAAAGUAGUUCAUUACAACGCGAGAAAAAUGUUCAAGAAGAUGGCGGAUCAGUAAGCCGAGCAGCAUUGGUUGGCUGAACCUCCUCAGGUGCGGGGGGGGUAUCACCAGUUACGUCCGGGGGGGUGCUCGCCUCGGCAACGACAGCAGGGGUGCUCACCUCGCCAACGUCAGCAAGGACUGAACGAGGAGGAGAACUUUCCUCCUCAAUCACGAUCGGUUCUAUCCCUUCGGCAUCUUCCUUGGCCGCUUCCUCGUCCAUAUGUUGAGCAACACCAGCUGCAAGAUCAUCCAUCUUCAGAUCAGGAUGCUGCUUCCCGAGGACGGCCAUAAUGCAAUGAUAGGAAUGCCGAAGUCCCUGGUCGUAUUGGUUGUCGGCCUCCCUCUCCAAGGUCUCGACCUGAGCUCGGUGGGAAUCGCGGAGAGAUUCGAGCUGAGCCUCAUACAUAGCCCUCUGCCUUUGCAGAUCCUCCUUGACCUUGGUCAGCUCCUCCUCGAGGGUAAUGGCUUUUGCUUGAGCAAGAGAUUCUUGCUCUAUCAGCUUGAGGUUCUCAACGUUUAGCUCCCCCGCUUUCUUUUCGGCAACGUCAGCUCUGGUCGUCGCCGAUUGAAUGUCCUCCUCCAUCUUCCUGUCGUAAUGGCCAACCUUGGCCUUAUAGUAGGUGGUCAUGCAGCUGAGAUGGAAAGCGCUAUACUACAUGGCUCCCACCAGCUUGCCCAGGGUACAACCGUCAAAGUCCUCCAGGUCCUUCUUGCUCACGAGUUUAGACAACUCAUUGAGAUAGGGGACCAAGUGUUCUGCUCGGCUGUCAGGUAAGCGAGACUGAGGUGCGACAGGUGGAGAAGAGGAAGCAGGAUCAGUGGCUGCUCCACUAGAUUCCCCGACUUUAGCAGGAGCAGGAGGAAGAGCCUGCAAGGGAGGAACCUGCUGCACGAUGUUCUUUCGCUUCGUUGCAGGAGCAUCUUUGUUCUGGUCCCGCUUGGUUGUUGGAGGCCGAGAACGUUUCCUGGUCAGAGCUCCAAUCACUACGUCCUCCAUCUUAUGGCCAGGGGGCACCAAACGAGACUCGAGCAGGUUGUAGGUGGUUAACAGCUCUCGACUCGGGCAGGAAUUAACCAAUACGGCCUCGACCCUUUUGAGUUGGUCAGGUUUGAGCGGGAAAUGAACACCCCAAGAAACUACAGCACAAACAGACACUUGGUUAGAGACAAACCAACACAGCAAGAACAAUUAUGGAUACAAGACAUCUAAAGCGAGCAGGCAACCUGGGACCGUGAAACGGGGUGGGACGCGACAAUCCUUCCCGUCUAUUUGUGCAACUUGACCCCAAGGACCCCCAGCAAAAAAGGAUUUCCUCUUCCAAGUCCCACCACCACCAGUUGGAAGAUUAGUUAUGGGUUUCCUGCUCUUGGUACUAGAUUGGAAGUAAUACCAGCCGGCAUCUUUAGGGCUGCUCUUCAGCUGGUACAGGUGCUUGACCUCAUCAACCGUGGGCUCGCUUUGGCAACAUUUGUCCCACAAUAUAAACAGACCAGAGAGCACUCUCCACCCAUUGGGGUUCAGCUGACCAGGAGCCAGAUUUAGGCCGUUAAGUAUCCGGGCAAAGUAAGGCUGCAAGGGACACCUUAGCCCAAACUUAAAGCUUUCCAGAAACAGGAUAACGUAUCCCCUAGGAGGCCGGCUAGGUGUAUCCUUCUUUCCUGGGAUCUUGAGAGGAAUUUCACCAGGAAUGCUAUACCUGAGCCGGAGGUCAUCCAGCUCGUUGAAUGUGGUCGUGCAGGUCAUGUAAUCAAUAGCAUAAUCCCGCGACGAGGCUCUACCUCCUACUGUACUACGCCCCUCUGGUCGCGGCGCUCCUGGUGAAGAUCCCUCACCAGAAUCACCUCCUUGAUCCUCACUUAAGGUGUCUUCCGAGCCAGAAGGUCCCUCUUCACCACUACUUCCGCUCGUGGAGGUCGUUUGGGGGGACAUCCUCCUAGUGCUAGUCCCGACACUAGACCUAGUGGGUUCUAAGGGGACCCCGGGGUCAAAAGCAGAAUCAGCGAGCAGACUAGGCAAGAAACCUAGUUCGUCGUCACCAAUCUCAAUGACUUUCUCCUUACCCUUCGACAUAUCCUAAGUUCUAACCAAAACACCACUGCCAACUACAACCUCAAGCAAAGCAAAGAGAAAAGAAAUUAUCUACAACUAACUAAGACCGAGAAAAUAGAAGAAAUACCUGAAGCAGGGACUCGGUUAGAGAGAGGCGAGGAUGAAAGCUUCAAUGCCGAGGGUCAUUCGCCGGAGAGACAAGAAGGGAGAGAAUGACGAGUUCGCGUCUAAGGACUUUGGGUUUUCUUACUGAGGAGCAAACUUUUGGAUUGCCAGCAUUUAAUGACACAUAUCCCGAGAAUCUUGCAACCGUAGAUUUGAAAUUCAAAUGGAGGGGCUGAUUCCCGCCACAUCACUUCAUCCGUAAUUAAAUGCGACACGACUCUUGGCAACCUUUUCCAGUCCCACGCGACCAAGAACCACUGAGUUUCUACUGCUGGUCCAUUACAUUACCCAACACCAGAAACUGGGGGACCGGUGUUUGAGGGAAAUACUUCGGUGAGACCAGACGUGAUGAGCAGAUGUUUGGUGACAGAAUUCUGCGAGCAGGUGUCUCCUGUAAGAGCCAGGUAGCAAGGGAACAGGAGCAGGAAUAUUCUGCUCGUCCACGAAUAUGCCAUUCGCGAGGCCGAACCCUUGCUAGAGGCAUAGGGUCACUCCCGCUAGGAUUCGAGGCGAGGAGACCCAGUCAACGGCAGUUGGCGAGACGUGCCUUCCUAUCCGAGAAUCAAGGCACGAGGUCCAUCUCCAUUCGCCCAUCAUGACGAUAAUGGGACAUCCACAUCCGAGCGUGGGGAGAACAACGAGCGUAAACUGCGGAAGACCGGGACUCAGAGGAAGCCUAUAAAAAGGUAGCCAACGAAGGUAAAAGGGUUAGCAAUUUUGAUUCUAAAAGAGAGAAAACAACCUAACAGCCAUAAGAUUUGUGGCAAGCAUUCCCCGAACCUUCAUAUCUGACUUGAGCGUCGGAGGGUUUUCGCCGGGAAAACAACCGGCGUACUCUGACCUGUCUGUGUGCGCAGGAACCUCUGGAGAAGAAGUUUUACGAGGAGAGAUCCAGUUCGUGGUGAAGUUGAUCGAGCAGAGACCCUGGUCGUAGAACGAGGAGAACCAGAAUCUCGCAUCAACAAUCUCUAUAGAUUGGAUCGAUCUCAAUUCAUUGGGAUUGAGUUUUAGUCAUUUCUAGGGCGAGAGAAAUUGACUUGCACAUGUAUCAUGGCAACGUUUGUUUUAUUUGGAUAUUAUUUGUUUUUAUACAGGCUUUUAGUUUAUUUCAGGUUGUCUGAGCAAAAUUUUAUCACACAUGCGAUUACUUGGAAAAUUCUAACGCCAGUGUAUGUUAAAAAUGAAAUUGGGUCAUGUAGGUACCCUCUGUCAAGAUCAAGUGCUAGCUGGACAACCACUUUGAAAACUAGUCUCCUUUUCCUGCUGUAAGUUUCAUUUCCUUUUAGAUUUUACCGCAUGAGUUUAGCUUAAUUUCUUCAAAUUACUCCGAUUUAAGACCAAAUAGACUCUGGAAUAAGGGCUUAAGUAAUUUAUAAUAGAGAUGAUUAGGGGAUGGGCAAGGAUACUUGGUAAUAUGAAGGGACAAUUUGGAUGUGUUUGCAAAAAUGAAAACACAGUAUCCCCUGUAAUAUUGGACGGGAUUGAUGACUGAAUGGUCAAUCAAACGUUUUUUUCCAUAACUUUUGAAAGCACCAACUACUUUCAGAUCCAUCUGCCAUCUAUAUUGAGUAUAUUCUAAUUAUAAAUCUAUCGUUGUUUGUCCUUAGAAAGCAAAAUACAUACAAAACUGUAUUUAAUACUCUUUUUUAAACCAACCACCCAAUAAAUAAAUAAAUAAAUAAAAUUAAAAUGUAUUUAUUAAAUUAAAUAAUUUGCAAAAACUACGAAUCUCAAUAGUCUGUCUACUUAUAGACCAAAGUUAUUUAUUAAUCAUGGUUAAUGCAACAUGUGUGUAACACAAAACAACAAAUAACUGGCUUUGCUUUGCUCCAGAAAAUUGGUCGAAAUUUUGGUCAGGCAAACCAAGCAGUCCAAUUUUGGUACAAUAUUUUGUCUAACAAUUUUUAGCUUUACCGUUAAGCCAUAAUAUCGUUUUCUUAUAAGCAUUAAUCUAAUUUCUCCUUAACUAAUUAUUGUAUUAUGCGUAUGGUGUUACCCUCAUCAUCGUUUGACUUUUCAACCAAGUAGUUGUGGGUGGAGAUCAAUUAAUGCUUCAACAUAUUACAGUUCAGAGAGAAUGACAAUUCCAUCCCUCUUUAUUUUUAUUUUUAUUUUUUGGGGCAUCACUUAGGUUUCUUGUAGACUUUUAGUACCUCAUUUUAUCAUUGACUAAAAAAUGUUAAGUAAAAAAUUACGCGGUUGGAGGUAAAAUACAGUUGGUGUAUUGAAAUACAAACUAAUAUUACAUAAAAUCUGACAUAAAAACAUAUUAAAAUUGGACCAGUUAAUGAGGUCAUUUUACGCCGACGCAAUCGUGACGCAAUCGUGCAAAUACCAAAAAACGUACUGAAUAUUGAUGAGCCAUGGUCCAAAACAAUAACUGGACCAGUUGAUGAGGCCGGCUUAGUAUCUACAAACAAGGUAGUCAAUCUAGGCUUCAGCAGUUAGUAUCCCAAUCCCAAUCCCAAUCAAGUGCGCAGCCCUAAAACAAAGAGUGGACUUUUCUAACACCCCGUGAAAAUUCUUAUGAAACCCACUUUUUUUAAUUAUUAUUUUGAGUGCGACUAUUUUCACCCCUUUAAAUAUCUCUUAAUAUCCUUUUUUUUUUAAUUAACUCCAUUAAACUAUUUUAAAAAAUUAUAAAAUUCUUUUAACACCUCCAUCAAUAACAAAAAUACCCUUAAUUAAAACUUAUUAGUAUAAACUUUAUUCUCUAAUUUUUACUUGUUUUUAUUAUUAAACCUCAUUUCAAUAAUAAGAUUUCUUCCACUCAAAAGAAAAAAAAAAUAACCGAUUUUCUUCUCUCCAUUGCAAUCGUCAGUGGUGAAUUUUUCACCCAAAAAUUAGAGGAAAAUUAAUUGUUUUUAAUUUCUAUAAUGUUAAAUUUUUUUAAGAAAAAAAAAAUUAUUUGAAUUUGGAGUAGGGUUUUAAGAAUUGCCCUAUCAUGUAAUUUUAAUCAAAGUUAAAAUUAUAAAAUAAUUAAAGGGGUUUUAAGAGGUAUUUGGAAGGGUGUCAAUAGUCCCACUCAUUAUUUUUUCCGACAUAUUAAAUCAUUUGAUAUAUGAAUUUCACAUUGGGCCUCGACUAAUUCAGAUUCGAGCCGGAUAUAACCAUUAGGACGACAAAACUCUCCCAAAAAAUAUUUAACGCAGCUGCAUUCGCAAGUCUCGAACCGAGAACCUUGAUUAAAUUAGAAUAAUUUAUUUACAGCUAAUCUACGCGUUUGUUGAUUUUUUUCAAUUAUUAUUAUUCUUAUUUUAAUACCAAAAAUACCCUUUUCCUGCUAAAUUCCUAUUACAUUUUUUUAGUUUAUUCCAAUUUAACUAUCUUUAAUCAGAUCGAGACGAUGAGUUUGCAAAACUAUGUAAAGUUAGGUGGAGCUGCUUGAUGGUUCCUCCAAUCACGAUCAAGAUGUUAAAUGUUGACCUUGGAAAAACAUAAGCCGCUAAACUCAAUAAGUAUAUGCAAAAGAUAGUACAUCAGGUAGUAUUAAAGAAUUGUUUUUUUUUUCCUACAGUUUUCUCACCCGUAAAACAAAUCAAUGUCUUAUUUUUGGUCUUUUGGAUAGAUGAGUCACAAACAAAAACAAAAAGGAAAAGAAAAAAAAAAGGACUUGUUGAUUUUUCAGAUUUUGGGGAGAGAAAGAGAAGCGGUCGAAGAGUUCGCAGAGAAAAUAAAAAUAUCCUGGGUGUGUUUGACGAGAGAGAAACAGGUAGACGAGUUUGUCCUCCCAUGUAAUUACAUCAGAAAAGGUGUUAUAAGUAAAAAUAGCGGGGUGUUAAUAGCUGUACUGGAAGGCAAAUAUAUUGUCGCUCAAGUCCAUUCAAAUUCGGCCUAUAUCUAAAGAAUGAGAGAAGACUUUACUUCUCAAGCUGACUGGGGGGUACCGGGCCAGGCUGGUUUCGUUUUGCUUUUUGUUUUCCCUCACUAAUACAAUUUACUAAUUCAAAAUUAUGGUAGUUGAUUUACUUCUACUUCUAAAUAUGUAACGCACUACGAGCAUAAACUAUCUAAAUCGUACCAUUAUUAUAAAUCUAAUCCAUGAGGCUUUUAAUUGAAAAUAUAAUAGAUUAUAUUGUAAUUCAAAAUAUAAAUGUAUAAAUGUCAAAUAAUAAGUUAACAUACGAGUAGGGAUGGCAAUGGGCACCGCCCGCAGCGGGUUUGCCAUUACCAAACCCAAACCCGCACAAAAUUUAAAUUACCAAACCCACCCGCAACCCGCAGCGGGUUUUAAUUUUUUUACAAAAACCCACCCGCAGCGGGUUUUAACAAUUACCAAACCCGCAAUGGUAUCCGGCGGAUUUUUUGCGGGUUUUCGUAUUUAAAAUCACAAAUGUUUAAUAUAUAAAUUUAUAAUAAUAACCUCAAAUUCCAUAUAACAUACUCAAUUUUAUAUUUAAAUAAUGUAAAUGAAAAAUUAAAAUUUCCACAUCAAUUCAACACAAAUUCUCAAAUUUAAGUAUAAAUUACACAAAUCCAUUUAAAAAACACAAACUAGUAUCUAAAAAUAAUAAUUACAUUUCAUAUUAUCAUUUAAAACAAGCUCCAAGAGAAGAUAUUCAUUUCAUUCACCACCAUAAGCACCCAUCCAACACAAUGCCUAUAAUAAUAAUUAAGAUUAAUAUUUUCAAAUACUAAUUCGAAGGAAAAUGCCUUUAGUUUUCUUUAGAUUAUGACUUUAGAAUAGGAUAUAGGCCACAUACACAACUUUGAGCCUUUGGCUAUUUGGUAAUUUAAUUAAUGACAUUAUUUUCUUUAUACAUUUUUAGAUUAAAAUUAAACUAAAAAUAUUUUUAAAAAAUAUUGCGGGUUUGGUGGAUAUCCAUGCGGGUAUCCACCGGAUAUAAGGUUAAUACCAAACCCACCCGCAUCCAUGUGCGGGUUUUAAUUUAUAAUACUAAACCCGCCCGCAACGGGUAAAAUUACCCGCAACGGGCGGGUUUUGGCGGGUGGGUUUGGGCGGGUUUGCGGGUUUACGGGUACAAUUGCCAUCCAUACAUACGAGUGCAGUCUCACACAAAUUUUUCUUGGUGCACGCAUUGCCAACUUGGAAAAUCUACUCAACUAAUACUUCCUUCUCUUUACUGUUGCAUUGACUUUAGAAAGUUAAUUUUAGGGGUCUUGUUACAAUGCACCAGCUGCACCAUCUAACAAGUUUUACAUUGUCCUUAACCAAUUAUUCAUUCAUAAUCGUUGAUUCACUAUAUUAUUUUUAUACAUAACAUGUUUUUGUAAUACAUAUAGGGCUUGUUUGGUUGUUGUAUUAAAGCCCCUCAUUGUAUUAAUUUUACACAAAUUCAUGUUUGGCAAAUAAAAAGUUACAGGACCACCACAUUAAAAGCCCAAACUAAUGCGGCAGUUGCCGCAUUAAGGUAAACCCGACUGUGAGUCGGGUUUAACUUAAUGCGGCAACUGCUGUUUUUUUUGUUUUUUUUUUUUUUCUCUCUCUCCCUUUUUGCUUUUGCAACUGUCUGUGGAGCCUUGCUUUUUGACUUUUGUUUUUUGACUUUUGCUUUAUAAUAACAAUAAUAAUAAUAAUAAUAAUAAUUAUUAUUAUUAUUAUUAUUAUUAAAUAUAACUUUUAAUUUAAUAUUAUUUUUAUAUUAUAAUUAUUAAUAUAGAUUAAUAAACAUGUAAUUUAUUAUUCAAUAUUAUUAUGUUAUAUUAUUUUUUACAUUAUAAUUUAUUAAUAAAUUUAUAAUUUAUUAUAACUUAUAAUAAAUAGUUAAAUAUGAAUAAAUUUGAAUAAUAUUAAUUUAAAAUUAAUAAUAAUAUAAAAUAUUAAUACAAUUUAAGUAUAUUAAUAUAAUAUAAUAUAGUAUAAUAUUUAAUUUAAAUUAAUCAAAAAAUUUAUUACAGUACAGUGUAGUACCAAACAUUAUACAAUAUUAUUAUAAUACAGUGCUAAUGCAAUACAGCAUAAUACAAUACACCAGCAUUAAAAUAAUGCAAUACAACAUAAUACAAUACAUGUACCAAACGCACCCAUAGUAAAUUAUGUAUACAACGAAAAAGUUAUUAUCAAUAAAAAAAAAAAAAAAAAUGUGGAUCUACGGCGCAACAUGCUGCACCAUAAUCACACCCUAAAUUAUUAAAAUAAUAAAUUAAUUAAAAGAUAAAUAAAACGUACAUUUUAAAUAAAAUAUUUUAUUUUUUAAUAUAUUAAAAUAUGUAUUUUAUAUACCUUUUAACUUAUUUCUUAUUUUAAUAAUUUAAAGAAUCUUUCAUUCAAAAUUUAUUCUAUACAUAUAUAUUAAGUUGGCCCCUUUUGAUAACAUAAUAUUUACAUGCAUGAACUUGAUCACUAACACAUAUAUUACAUGAGUCGCACCUGACGAAAAUUCCAUACGAUAUAUAUUCAAGUGAUCCAGAUCGAUAGACAAAUUAAUUGUACCAUGUUACAGUUAAAAUUGGAAAAUAAUAUAUAGUACAUAUUCCUUUUAUGUGGCAAAAUAAUGUAUACAUUACAUUUUCCCUUUUACGUGGCCCUCAUGACGUCGAUUUAUAAAUCAUCAUGUGACAGUGAUUUAAUGUGGACAUCCAAUGGACCACCAAAUUUCUAAUGAACAGAGAAAUUUGUCGACAAGCUUAUCCCAACUCCUUGAUUGCUAGUUUAAGUGUCUAUUCACAUCAAUGAGCCAAGUUGAUUCAUCUCACUACCGGUAUUUAAGGUCAAUUUUUUUAACUUAAAUCUAAUAUGUUAUUAUACAACUUAAACGAUAAAUCCCAAGUUUUUAAAACUUUUUACUUUGGUAUGAUCAAAUAAAAAUCAGUUAGGUUGCAGUAGCCAACACAAGAUAACUAAAAACAGAACAAAUUCCAUGAAAAGUUCACUAAAAAGUCUUUAAAAAUAAUUGCUUUGUACUAUGAAAAUUAAAAAAAAAAAAAAAAAGUGUUCCCGCAUACUUUGAUGUGCUUAAUUUUUUUGUCUCAACCUCUCAAUGGUAGUCAAAAAGUUUUCAAACAACCAACUUUGAUCUCGUAAAUUUAGAUUUAGAUAAACAUAUGCAAAUCUACAACAUAUCUUAUUCUAACUAUUAAAAGUAAUGCUUUCCAUGAUUUUCCUAAGUAAUAAGAAAUUGGUAGUGUUUUGAUUGCCUCAAAAAAUCCCAACUAAUCAAACACUGCCCAAGAUCUUUGUCAAGAUAAAUUCAAGUUGCAUAUGAAUCAAAUGACCAACCUUUAUGACUCAAUGAUUAACAAGAACCUAAUAAACGAAUUUUAGAGACCAGAAACACAAGUAUCAAGCUAAAUUACCAACCAAAGCACAUAGAAAAGAAGACUGAUUCUACAUGGUUCAAUUGUGCAAAGAAGCACAAUCUACCAGAAUGAGUUUUUACUGAUGAUUCGAGUUGAAUUUAUAAAGCUUUUACAGAAUAGAUGACAAGGAACGGGAUGUCUCUCUCUCUCUUUCUCGUAUAUCUCUCUAGAACGCUCUUAAUUCCUCACUGAAACUGCCUCAACAAUCAGCUUUGUAUAACAGUCGAUAACAAACCCGGAUUCCAACAGUUUCUGCCACGUGGUUAACGGCCUGCAUCAAACUUGCUUCCCCUUCAUUUCAUAUGCUUCAUCACCUGCAUGACUUGAGUCUUAGCCAAAACGUCUUCAUGUCUUGCCGUUUUGAUGUUAUUAAGUGAGUCACACGUCCAUCACAUGACAGGUUGAAACAAACUAAUACGCAAAACGAUGCCGUUUAACAUGUCCAAGUUUUAAAUUCAGCAAAUUAGUCCACAAAAUUAAAGUUAUUUUUCUUUUCUUUUCUUUUUUUUCCAACUCUUUGUUCAAACCAAAAAAAUCUUGAUCUCGAACAUCUUUAUAAUCACAACACAAUUACCUACAUACAAUGCCAUAUCGUAACGUACAAAGAGGAAGACACAUCAGAAACUCAAAUAGUAACAAUAAAAACAUCCUUCAUAAGUCAAUCAAUAUUACUUAUAUAUAUAUUCCUUUCGAAUUGAAGAGAGCCACCUGAAGCUUGGCUGCUCAUCAGCCUUGCUUGGAUUCAACCACUUAAGAGGACACCAACAACAGUUUUUGCUCGCCUAAUCAUAAUUCUUUUUUAUGUUGUAUGAAAAUAAAAAAUAAUUGAAUAUUAGUUAGAGAUAUAUAUUAAAUAAUUUAUUAAAAAAAGUUUACAAUCUAUAUACAAAUUAUGAUCUAUAAUUCAAUGAGAUUCUGUAUAAAUGCACUUUAAAUUUAUAGUACAAUCCAGAAAUUUUUCGAGUAUUAACUUAAAAGUCUACUCUCAUAAAUAUACAAAAAGAUAUUUACAGUAUUUUAAAUUAAUAAUAUAAUAUUAUAAUUUAUUAUUAAUUUUGUUUGUAUUAAUGGGAAUCUUCCUUGCAUUCCUCUUUUAGUUGCGCCAAGGAUAUCUUUGAAAAGGAAAUGCUUCCUCAUGUUGCUAUGACUGAAUUCUCUAGAACUAAGAAAGCUUAUUAUUUUGGGUAACUAUAAUUCUUCUAUAUAUUAUCAUUGUCAUUACUUUAGAGUAGUUACAGAUCUUAUUUAUCUUUAAUUUCUUCAGCUGUUUUAUAAAUCGGCUUCUUCUUUGUGCACUUGGCCGGUGGGUUAAAGAUGUUAGAUAUCAUUAUGGCAACAAGAGACAGGACCUUUCUGGUUCAUUACUUGAAGGCUUGUUUAGGAUGGUUUGUUUCAUUUUUGUGUCGAGGUAGUUGACUUUACUUGUGAUCAUAUGAAUGGAGAUGUAUCUCUUUUCUUUUAACAUCCCACUUUUAUAACUAAAAUAAGAUGAUUUAUUUCAAAAUAUUUAAAAUCUCAAUAUUUUUUUAAUAUAAAUAUGGAUAAUUAAAAUUUUUACAUGACAAGCACAAACUUCAUUACAAAAUAUAUGAGACACAUAGAGAUUCCUUAGUAUAUAUUUCAAAACAUGGUUAUUAUGCAAGAGAACUUAAGAUAUUUAUUUUUUAUAGCAACAUAGCUAAGCCCAUCAGAGUCCAACGGUUUGACAUGCCCAUAUGCAUUUCAUCUUGGUUGGGACUUGGCGCCAACUUGAUCUACUCAUCAUUACCUACAAUCUAAGGAUUGCAUGAGCUAAUGCCUAGUAAGAUAACACCUUGAUGCAAGUAUAAAUUGUUAAGCACAUGGAUGAGCUUAUAAACAUUAAAUCUUUAAAAGAAACAUAGAAAUAUAAAACAACUUUGUUAGGGCCCUAUGUACAUUGCACGACAAGGUUGGCACUUUUCAUUCUUUAAAACAACAUCCCCUUGGGCCUAAAUUAAUAGUUGAUCUUUGGGCAUUGCGUAACUCUGUCCCCAAAAGAUUACUCUUUACUUAGCUUUGAGGUCUUGCCCUCCUUGAAAACUUUAUCACCCUAGUAGUACAACAACCCAUUGUUCAAGACUCAUUUUUAAAAUCUUUUCUUUGUAAAGUAAUCUUAACAUAUUAACAUGAAUGCAUGUGUUCAAUGCAACCUAUAUCAUAACAUGUAAAGUUCCUAGAUAUAUAACAAAGCCAACCAUACAAAGUUUUUUAAAGACAACAAUCUUUAGUAUAGACGGCAGUGCUGUUUAUAUAAAAAAUAAAUAAAAAACAUGAUUAUAAUAAUAAUAUAGGUGACAAAGCGAACCAUAUCAUAAUUAAAUAAGAAUAUCACAAUAUAGGCAGCAUAACCAACUGUAUAAAGAUUAAAUGAGAAAAUAUCACAAUAUAGGCGGCAUAGCCGACCAUAUAAGGAUUAAAUAAGAAAAUAUCAAUUAUCAGCGACAGAGCCGACCAUAUAAAGGUUAAACAAUAAAUAAUCACAUCACAGUAGUCAUCAUAAGAUAAAGAAAUAAUUAAAGAUGAAUUUAAGUAUGAAAAGAACUUUGUCCGCAAAUUGCAGUUAAAGUAUUACUCAUAUCUUAAUCUUGACCCUCCUAACUUUAGGAUUUCUCUAUUCUUUGAUGUUAUUACUUAGAAUAGAAGAGGAUAGAAUUCCAAAGGAGAUAUGGAAAAUGAAAGAGCUAGGAGUACUUAUAGGAUUUCCUAAAGCUAAUGGAUGAUUAGGAUUUUGUCACCAUACCUUUUGAUUAAUAGUUGAGAUUUAUCCUUCCAUAAAUAUCUUUGUAAAUUCCAGAAUUUAUAAAUAUUCUACAGACAUUUUGUUGCAUCAAUACUUAUGUCAUCGCUUGUGUCAUCAUUACUCUAGAAUUUACUUUCAUAAAUAUUUUCUAUUUUUAUUAUUUUAAUAGUUAAGGGGAUUUGUAGCUUAAAAAUUAAUUUUAUAAUCUUAAAAUGAGAAGUUUAUACCUCAUAGUUUCCUCCCCCUUAAGAAAAUUUUAUGCUCAAAAUUUCCUAUUGAAUAGCUCAAGAUACUUGUUCUUCAUAUUUUCUUCACAUUCCCAUGUUGCCUCCUCCUUGAGCUAUUUCGUCAUAGUAUUUUAACUAGAAAAAUCUUCUUGGUUUUUAUCUCCUUUAUCUUUCUAUCAAGUACUUGGAUUGGAUGUUCUCCAUAGGUUAAGACUUCUCUUAGUUGAAGAGCCCUAUAAUUUAGCACAUAAGAGGGGGUCUGCAACAUAUUUCUUUAACAUGAAGAUAUGAAAAGACAUUAUGUAUCCUUGACGAUGGUGGAACAACAAGUCAGUACGAAACAUUCUUGACAUAUUUCAAGUAUUUCAAAUGGUCCAAUAAACCUCGGAAUUAAAUUUCCUUUUACAAAUACUUUAUUACCAACUUGAAAUUCAAAAGGCCUUCAACUUUUAUCUACAUGACUUUUUUGUUGACUUUGAGCUGUUUACAUUCUUUAAUGUAUUUUCUCGAUCGCCUUAGAUGAGACAACAAUCAAGUCGGGCCCAAACUACUUUUGCUUGCCCAUUUGAUCCCAAUGAAUAGGUGACCUACAUUUUCUACCAUAUAGAACUUCGUAGGGUGUCAUGCCGAUUUUUGCUUGAUAGCUAUUAUUGUAGGCAAAUGCAGCCAAAGGUAGAUAUUUGCUCUAUGAUCUUUAAAAGUCGAUAGCGCAUCCCCGCAACAUAUCUUCUAGUGUCUAGAUCAUUCUUUCUGACAAACCAUUUUUUUAAGGGUGAAAUGUUGUACUAAAUUUUAAUUUUGUUCCCAUAGUUCUAUGUAACUUUUUCCAAAAUGUUGAGGUGAACAUUGUCUCUCGAACAAAGAUAAUAAAAAUAGGUACACCAUAUAGUCUCUAAAUUUUAAUUUUGCUCCCAUAGUUCUAUGUAGCUUUUUCCAAAAUGUUGAGGUGAACAUUGUCUCUCGAUCAAAGAUAAUAAAAAUAGGUACACCAUAUAGUCAUACUAUCUCCUUUAUCUAUAUUUAAGCAAAUUGGUUCAUGGUGUGCAUCAUUCAAAUAGGCAAGAAGUGGGUGGACUUUAUAAGCCAAUCGACGAUCACCCAAAUGGCAUCAUGCAUUUCUUUUUCAAUUUUUUAUUACUAUUGGUAUUUAUGCAAUUUUUUAGAAAGUUAAACUGGAAUGUGAGAGCUUAUGUGAAGAAGGUUCUAAGUUUUUGUUGCUUUCUUUCUUUUUUUCUUUUUGUUUGAUUUUGAAUUAUUCCUUUUUUUUUUCAUUUGUUCUGGUUUACACUCAUAUAGUUCAUCCAUUUUGUAAAGGUUGGAUAAGGAUCUAUAUGUUAAUUUGCAAUAUGCUAUUUUAGCUAAAACAAUUACCCAUGGUAUAAAGUGUUCUUUGGCUACUGGUAAUUAGGGUCAGUUAGAUGCGUUUAUUACAAGAACAGAAGUGUCACAGGUUUUUUAUUUUUGAUCUAUUUGAAUACAUGAUAGUUGUUUUUGCUCACUCAAUUUCUACUUUGUAGUAUUCCUUAUAGUAUACCUUUUGAUUACAUUGAUCUUGUGGUCUUUCACAGAUGUUGAAUUACGUGACAUGCGCAUCUACCUUGUCACAUUUGCGAACACUAUGUUCGCCCAUAAGACAAAAGGUAAACUACUUAUUAUUGUGUAUAAUUUUGUUUUAUUGAGGGUUCAUUCAUGCUUAGUUUUGUUUUUUCACUUAUGCAUUACCAUAUUGUUAUUUUGUUAAUUUGUUGCAUAUAAUUAAUUGUUUUCACUUUAUUUUUCUAAAGAAGUUUUCAUUUACUAGGUACACAAGUAAAACCUAGGGUGGCACAUAAUACACAAUGAGGCAAGAUUUGUUCCUUUGCAACACCUUUGGGAUAAGUAAGUAAAAUUGCGCUUAUAAGAUAUAUCUAUAAUCUCUGUUUCUUAUUGUAGCUUACAAGAGUUUGUUUUGGUUAAUCUAGGCCUGUGGACUAGUGAAGAAUCUUGCUUUGAUAGUCAAUAAAACCCUUGGUUCAUUAGUAUUUCCCAUCAAUGAGUUAUUAGAAUAUGAGCCAAUAGUAGAAGCCAAGGUGCAUUUUGUAAUUUAUGGCAUUUAGACGUUAAUAAUACAUAUUUCAUUCAAAUUAUUUCAAUUUUCUCCUGAUUGCAAAAUGCUACUGCAGACUUUAUUCUAUAAGCUACAAAAAGUUUUGUUAAUGGUUACUGGGUGUCAUGCAUGAUGUUGGUUCAUUGGUCCAAGCUUUGAGACGCUUUAAAAGAAAUGUCAUUAUACUUGUAUUUCAUCUAUUCAUAAGGAAACCUCUGUAUUAAAAGUUGGCAAAUCGAUUGGUGUACUCUUAUGCCAUUUAUGAACUAUUUUGUUUCUCUACCCAUGUGCAGGACUUUAUAAAUACUGCAAUUGGGGUUUCUAGGGAUAUCCGUUCAAAAGAAUUGCGUAUAUACACUGAUUUUGGUCGUUGUUUUCGUCCAUUGCUUAUUGUCCAGAAUUAAAGACUUCUUAAAAAGAAGAAAGAUAUUGACGCCCUCUAUGACAAGGUUAGCCAAACAGUUUCUCGCUCUUUUAUUAAUGAUUUGUCUUUUCUGUAGUUACAUGACUUUUAUCUUGUUAAUCUUCCACAAAUCUUCCGAAGAUGGUUGUUGGUGUGACCUUUCUAAAAAAUGGGUUUAUAGAAUAUAUUGAUCCACAAGAAGAAGAAACCAUAAUGAUUUGCAUGACAAUCAAUGUGAAUAAAAUGGUAUUGGUUGGUCGAAAACCCAUUAUCGUGAGACGUAAUUUUUAACUUGCUAAAAAUUUGAUUAACACAAAUUUGCUUCAAGAAGUUGUAAAUGCGAGGCUUCAUCCAAACAAGGCUACUUCUAAUGCUUACAUGCAUUAUAAGAUUCAUUCAUCCUUGAUAUUGGGAGCUUUUGCUUCAAUUAUACCAUUUCCCAACGAUAAUCAGGUGCGUCGUGCUUUUGACAUUUCUCUGGUAAAAUAUGUUUAUAUAUUAAUUCAAUCCUCAAACUUUCUUUAGUAUUAUUUAUGCCAUUUAUGAGCUUUUGCUUUUAGUCCCCCAUGUAAUGUGUUUCAAGCUGCAAUGAGCAAGCAAACAAUUGGAAUCUAUGCUACAAACUACCAAUGACAUAAAGUACUGUAUUUGGUUUCAAUUUUUUUGUGAUUAGAAGUUCAUUUUCAGCAAGUCAUAGAUAAUGAUAUUAUUUUUCCUUUAUAUGAUUUAAGAUGCUUUAGCCUAUGUUCUCUACUACCCUCAGAAACUACUACUUGCUCGGAAAGAUGUAAAACUCCUUCAAUUUAACCAACUUCCUACUAGUGUGGUGAGUAUAUAAUUUAAUGUUGCUUUAUUGUUGCUCCUUAUGAUCAAAGUUUUCUCAUAAUCUUUUUGUCUUUGUUAUUUGGCAUUAGAAUGUAAUUGUCACUAUUGCCUGUUACAGUGGCUAUCAUCAAGGAAGUUCUGUUGUUAUGAACCAAUUAUCUAUAGAUUGAGGAUUAUUUUGAUUCCAUACAUUUAGGUAAGUUGUUGUUGAGACAUUGUGUAUCUUAAUUAACACGACUCAAAAGUAUUGAUUACUCCCAAGUAUAAGAGUGUCUAAUUAUAAUAUAAUCUAGUGAGUUGGGGUCGAUCCACAAGGAAUCUAUAAAUCUAGUAGUCAAUUAUUAAAAAAAAAUAACUGCAGAAAAAAGAAAUUAAUAGAGAUCAAUCUAGAAAAAAUGUUGUGGUUACGGAAUUCACUGUCGAUUUUCAAAUUAUGGUCGUAAUACUCUCUCAUAUUUAUAUUUUGCAUUUCUUUAGCCAGUUAAUUGUUAUGCCAUUUAAUUCUUAAUUGACCAUUUGUAUGGAUAAAUAUGAGAUCAAGUACCUAAUGUGCCACAGCUAUAUUGGAGUAUCGACAUUAUGUCAAAAAAUCCAUACCAAUCUAAGCAGAUCUAGAUCUAUAAAUUAGCAUGAUAUAAAAGUAAUUAGUAAAGAAAAAAUACAAAUUAUUAACAUUUAACAAUUAAAAUAAAUUUAAAACUCACUUGAGAGAGUAAUUAAUUCCCUAAUUUGAAUCCUUGAGCUUUAUCUUUCACCACAACUUAUAAAAAUUUAGUCACUCAUAUUUAAAAGGAAAACACUCAUUUUAUUUAAACUUUGUGAACUACAAUACAAGAAAAUUGAAAAGUAAAGGAAAUGAAAGAGAUUUUUGUCCUUAAAUUCACUCUAUAUUCACACCAAAAUACUCAUCCCUAAAAUCCACCACAAAUUCUCUCUCAUUUUCUUCUUUCUCCAAAAAUCUAGAACACCCUCAUUUAGAAGAGCUCUUACCUUUUUAUAGGCAAAAUUUAGUGAUCAAGUGUGGGUGUUUACAUAAUAUUUUUGUGAGAUUACAAUCACCACCAUUUAGAUGAGAUUUAGUAGUAUAAUCUAAGGGUCUAAAAUUUGCAAUCAUUAUGGAUCGUUAGAUUUAACAUAAUUGUUUUUAGUAGAUUUUGAGUGUGUGAAUAAAAACAAAACCUAGUUAAAAAAAAUGAAUUUAUUUUUAUUGGGAUGUAAAGUACCUUGCUUAGUCAGAAUGUGCGUGUUAUUUCGGUCUUUCUAGGGAAGAAGGAAGGGUGAGAGGGUGGCAGAAACGGUGAGAGGUUCGAAUCUAGACUCACAAAGCUCACCUUAGACCUGCAAAACAAUGAAGAAAAGGUUAGAGGUGCAGGCGAGAUGGAUGGCGACCACACUCUAACUCUCAAGUCGGAGUUAGGUUACCUCAGGUUCGAGAACUUGCAAACUCUCAAUAAUAGUGGCUAGAGAUUGAAGAAAAUCUCAGCCUUGGUGGUAUGUGUGUGUAUUGGUUGUGUAUCAUAAAAAUAAAACCUGAGCAUUUUAUAAAGAGUACUCCGGCUACCAUGCGACAUGAUGUUACUUUUUUUAUGUUCCUUAUUGUCGUGGCAAAAAUAUUUUUGUCCUUCAUACAUGAGACAAUUUGGGUACUUUAGAAUGAGCAUGAAAAAUAAGUUUGAGGUGCAUACACGUGUUGGGCGUAGAUGGGUGGUCCCUCGUACCUCUACUGAGGCUGUUCGGAACUUGCAGGCAUGGCAGGUGAGGACAGGUGGUCCUAACUGUCUUGGUAACUACUUUUUUGUCUUAUUUGUAGGAGUAACAAGUCGUUGUUUCUUCUUUUCCAACACAAUAUUCCUUUAUUGAUUUCCUAUUUUUUGCCAGAAAAUCAACCAAUCAUUUUGGGAUAAUGCCUCCUUUUAUCACCUGUUACUUUUUUGAAUAUUUUUCUAACAUUCCUACGCUUGCAUGGCAUACCCCAGGUACUCUUUCGAAUAAAUAGGGUAUUCGACAUAAGCCAGGAUAUUUUUUAUGACUUUUCUUUCGUUAUAAGUCUUUGUAUCGACACAUGACGCUUUAUUGUUAAGUCUUCCACUUCUUUCCCAAGUAAUAAUCAAUGUCUAUGAUUGAAGUCAAAGGUGGAUCCUCCUUUUGCUAAUUUGUCAAGGCAGUUGAGCUAAUUUGUUAAAAUAAUUGAUCUACCAAAUUUGGUGUGCAAAAUCAAGCACAACAUGGUGUACGUGAGCUUAGACACGCGGCAUGAUCUCAAUCGUUUAGCAAUAAUGCCAGAUCAAAUGGCUACAAAAUAUCCAACAACUUCUGAGCUUAUGGGAUCCAAAUGUCACGUCCAUUUUUUUUUUAUCCAAGCAUCGUGAUUUUAGGGAAUUACCUACGAAACACAAAAAAAAAAAUUGUAGUUAAAAAUAAAUAAAAAUUAAUCAUUUGUAAAAUAGUUUAGGGAUUUAUUAAUGUAAUAAAUUUUUUAGUGUUAUCAACACUGCAAAUUGAAAAUGAUAACUAAAAUUUUAUUAAAUGUACACUUUCUAAUAUUAAUAAUUAAAUAUCUGCUUUAUUCAGUUUGUUUUAUUUUCUUUGAGAUAUACUUUAUUAAAUUUCUCCUAUUUGACAAUGAUGAGGAGAAAGGGAUGAGCACUAUUAGAGAACAACAAUUUGGGCAUCUGGCUCCAUCGAAUAUUAGGGUGAAUACUAAAAUCAAGACACUGCUAGUUGUUGUUUGGAUGAAAUAUUGUUUGAAUAUAUCUAAUACUAUGAGCUAAAUUCAGGAUGCUGGUGGAGUGUUGGUUAUUGUUUGCUUGAAAUAUUGGAUGUAGAUAGGAAUUUUGUUUUGCAGGACGUACAACAUGGUAAUUAUGAUAAAUUGGAUGCUGAUGGUCUUGUGCCUCCUGGUGGUAUAUAUUUAAAGUUCAUUUCUAUUUCGUCUUGCUCUUUCUUAAAGAAACUCAUUCUUUUCUUAAAUUGACUUGCUAUUUUUUUCUUAGGGAACAAGAGUUUCUGAAGGAGAUGUGAUCAUUGGGGAGACUGCUCCUAUUACUCUGGAUCAACAGACAUCGAGCUACACCAGACGUGACCUUAGAACAAGCUUACCUUCUGGUGAAACAGGGAAGCAGAUCGAGUAAUAUUUAUGUAGUAGAUCGAGUAAUAUUUAUGUUCCAAUUUUACUUGCAUCUUUACAUGUUAUUUACUUCAUUUUUAUAAAUUUAACUAUGUAGUUUCAUAAAAGUUACAUUCAUAACUGAAGGUGUUCUAAACUUUAUAGGUUUUGCUAACGAAUGCUGAUAAGGAGUUCAGGUCUGUGAAAGUUAUGGUCAGAACUAUCUGGAUAUCCUAUAUUAGAGAUAAGUUUAGCAGUCUGCAUGCUUGGAAGGGAACAAUUAGGAUGACAUACAACCAGGAAGACAUGCCAUGGAUAGUGGAAGGCAUCACCCCUGAUAUAAUUAUAAAUCUGAUAGAGCAGCGUAACGAAAGCAGAAUUGAUUGGAUAGAAAACACUAGAUAUCGUUCUGGUACUAGCCCAAGCCAACGCGAUUAGACUACACUCUAAUCGAAGCAUGAUUAGAUUUCAUUCUAACCUAAAUGACUCAAUGAGAUUUUUAAUUACGCGUAAAGCUAGAUUAGAUGACGCUUUAAUCCAAACGACUUUAUAAGAGAGAUUUUGAUAGAUAAUUCUAGAGGGAAUUAUAAAAGAGGGAAACUUAUUAAAUAAUUGAAUCUGAAAUUAUGAAAAUAAUUACAAGACCUCUCUAUUUAUAAUAGAGGAAACCCACUUCCCUAAGUUAACUUAAAAAGGGAAACUAAAUCACAAUUAUAAUGAAAAUAAAUCACUAAGCUAACUUAAAAAUGGGAAACUAAAUCACAAUUAUAAUCGAACUAAAAGACUAAGAUACAUAUCAUAAUUAACUCAAACUAAAAUAGAAAAUCCUAAAACCAUAAAUAAUCCUAAAACCAUAAAUAUUCUAGAAUCCUAAAUUACCUAAAAUAAUGUCCUACAUCAUUCUCCCCCUCUUAAAAGAAACUCGUCCUCAAGUUUGAAUAUAAUCUAAAGGAUGAAACUUGUAGUGUAGGAGCAAAUCAUCUUAUAAUUCGAACUUAUUGUCCUUCUCAUCAAUCUUUUUUGAAAACUUUGAAGAAUCCAUAUUUCAUCAAUUUCCUUUGCUUGUACAUUUUUCGAGGUGAUCAAGACUUCAAAAAACGAACAACAAUCAAAUAACUUUUGCCCUUCCCCAAUUCUCGCUCAAUGCUCUCUCCAAUAAAUUUCACCUUUUCAAUCAAAUCUUCAAUCUUACUGUUAGACUCGCUACUUAAAUCAAGGUGAGGUUGUUCUUCUUCUUUAAAAAAUUUAGAUAGGUCAAAUAUUUCGUCAUCUUCAACACUUGUCUUCUUUUUCAGGGAAACAUCAUGCGCAUUCUCAGAAAACUUGUCAAAUUGAAACUUUAAAUCAAUAAUAAAUUGUACAUUUUCCUGCAGUAUCUAACGCGAGUCUUCUUCCUCAACGAUAGGAGAACUCAUUGGUGCAUCUCUCAGCACUUUCAUAGAGACAUGUCAUUCCUUGAUUAAAUCUUGAACUUCGUUAAGUUUCUUAAUCACAUCAUCAAAGUUUCUUUGUCGUUGGGACUCAAUUUGAUUCAAUUUGCUUGGCUAAAUAAAUUGCUUGCUGUAUAUUGUAGACAGUGUAUGUAGGCAUCCUUUCUUGAACAUGUAAAUCAAGCACUUUCACAAAUCGUGUAGUUGUAUUCUCCUCAAGUUCAUAAUAAUAUUUGCAUCUAUAAACUUUUUCAAACUCAAAAGCAUAAGCAGAAAUGGAUCUCGUACCUUGCUGUACCAAACAAUAAUCAAGAGGGACAAACUCAUAUCACAAAAUACGCUUCAUACGGUUCCAUGAUCGAACUUUGCAUUUGCCUUGGUCAAGUCGAGAAGUUUGCAACUCAUGCCACCACUCUUAAACACUUAAGGUUAAUCUACUAGCCGCAAACGAUACUUGCUCUUCUUUAGGAGUGCGCCAAAAUAGAAACCAGUGCUCAACCUUGUCCAACCAAUCAAGAAAUUGGUUUGGACGAGUGUAUGCAAAUAAUAUCGACACAUGAUAAAUAGGCAUGCAAGGAUAGUGGUUUACCAUUUAAGUUUCCACACAAUGGCAAAACUAUAAAUAAAGAAAAUAUUAUUCAAAAUUUAUAAAUAAGCAAAAUAUGGGUUACCAGCGACGAUGACUGGAAAAUAGGUCAAAGAUUGAUGGAUCUGGAGGAUUUGAUGGUGAGGAACACGAUAGUGGCUGGUGAUUGGCCGGAUUCGUAGCGUGUUGGCUAGAAAACCUACUUGAAAUGGCGGUUGUGGUGCUUGGAUUGUGAAGGAGCUUACGACGAUUGCUUAGACUCAAUGGCAGUUAGGACUUGACGAGCAGCCAGAGUGGAGUUUGAUGAUAGGUGUGAUCGACAGUGAGGAGGUGAAAUCGACGGUGGCGCAUGUGUGGAGAACGCGCGGGUGGGUGUUACGUGUGGUGGCUAUGAGCGACGAUUCAGGGUUGAAGCUGGUCGACUUUUGGUCAACGGUGGCCAGCGAGUUUGGUGGUGGAGGUGGCUGGCUGAUCAGCGGUGGUGGGUGGCGGCUGUGGAAGUAGAUGUGGCGACUAGGGUUUUCAAAAUUUUUUUUUUUUGGAUUUUUGGAUUUUUUUUUGCUUUUUUUUAAUAACCAAUGAUGGAUUUGGUAGGGGAUGGAUAUGGGUAGCCAAGAAAGCUGUGCAACUGGCAUAGAACCGCUCUGAUACCAAUUGAUGGAGCAGCGGAACGGAAGUGGAAUUGAUUGGAUAGAAAACACUAGAUAUCGUUCUAGUACUGGACCAAAUCAACGCGAUGGUUGAAGAUAAAAUCCAUUCCUGUGCUCGGGGUAUGUCGGACACCCUCACAAGACAACCUUUUCAAGGACAGUCUCAUGGCGGUGGCUAUCGAUUUGGAGAAAUGGAAUGAGAUUGUACGAGCUCAUGGUGCAAUUUGCGUUCUCAAGGAGAGAUUAUUUGUGCAAAGUGAUCCAUACCGAGUCCAUGGCCAUUGUUUGUUCAUUGCCAUUUCUGUAUAGCGUGUUAACAAAACUACAAAAAUUCAUUUCAGUAUCAGGAAACACUGUUUCCGAAACAGCAUUAGCUUCUGUUUUUCAAUGGGUUAUAAAAAAGUGUGACUUGGCUCAGUGGGAGAUAAAUCGUGAUAAAAUUAUGCGGUGUUCUUUGGGCCAGAGGUUUCAGCUGUGAUGCAAGAGAUUCUAAACUCUAAUUUGUUGUUGUCUGACUUCUUUUGCUCAUGGAUUUAGAUAAAACUUCUGUGCUAAGUCUUGUUCAAAGUGUAUAUAUAGAACUGAACUUGAUUCUGACUGAUUCCAUUGUUAAAAUGCAUGAGUUGUGUGGCAACCGGCUACUCUCCACUGAUGCUUUGCUGUCAUUGUACUUGUGCGUCAAAGAAGGCUUUCUUAAUAUUGUUGAGGAAAUUGUUGUCAAGCGAGGCUAAUCUGUUCACAUCUGGAAAAUAUUAUUUCAUGGUGUAUAUUUGUUAAAGUUAUUUAUUUUCUUUAUCUCUUAUAAUGGAGUAGAUUUGAUGUUGAGAAGAAAAAUAUUAGUGUUUAAUUGUGUGUUGAGUGAGUGGUUUAAAUGAGUAUUAAGAGUAAUUAAAAAUUAUAGAGUAAUGUUAAAUUGUUCAUAAAAUUAGUUUAACAAAAGACUUCUUAAUUUUUUAAUAAAAUGCAGUCUUAAAAAGUGUAUUUUAUCAAUAAUGUUGACAUUCUUGCAUUUGAGUCUUAAUUUUAUAUGUUAGUUGUUCAUUAGAUGAUAUAUUUUAUAGUUUACAAAGUUAUUAUUUUAUUAUUCAAUAAAUAAAUGACGCAUCAAUUAGGACUAAAUUGAAACGUAAAUGUUGAAUAUUACGUUUUGUUAAUGUUAAUGUUUAAUGGUCAGGUUAUAUAGAUAAAAUUUGUGUAUUUAUUUUUUAUUUAUUUUAAAAAAUUCAUUUUUUCAUGAACAAAGAAGUUAGUAAACUGAAAUUGCUUCUAUUGAACUGUGGAGUGCGGGUGCGCAUUUGCCGUAUCUAUGAUUUUUCAAAAUCUUUUAGUUUAAAAAAAAAACCUCAUACUUGAUGGGUAAUCAAGUAGAAAAAAUUAAUAAAAAAGUAAGUAGGCAUUUUAAGUGUAAUUUCAUUGAAAAUAAUAGAUAAAAUAUAUAAUUAAAUAUUUUAUUGAUAAUGAGACAAAAGUUAUUUCAUGUGAUUUUAAGAAAGAAAGCGUAAUGGACACAUGUCUAAUGUACAAAGAGUACAUGAACUGACAAAUGAGACUGUGAGAUUGUGGCUGGACAAUCUCCGGGACUUGGCUCAUGAUGCUGAGGGCAUACUGCACUAGUUCGACACUGAAGCUUUGGGGCACAAGCGAAUAGCAGAUCAAGCCAGCAGCUGUAAAUUAAAGAACCUAGUCCCUUCUUAUUUCUAACAUUUCGGUGGUUCCAACGGUUGGAAUUAUAUGCUCUUUAAAAUAUAUUAAUUUAUUUAUUUUUUUAUUAAUAAAAUAUUUGAGACAUUUUUAAUUGCAUAAAUAUUUUGAAUAAAGGUUCAUUUAAUCAUCUUAUAUGUAUUUAUAUGAUCAUCAUAUGGAUUCACAGAAAAUAUAAAUACAAGUUAUCUUAUGAUUAAAUAAAUUAAGUUCGCAGUUGAUAAAUAGAGUUGGACGCUCUAUUUAUGUUUAAACUGUAAUAAAUUCAUUGAAUGAUUUGUCUUAAUCAUGUAUGAAUUUAUUGAUGUAGUAUGACUACAUUGAACAUGAUCAUAUAUGAGAUUUAAUUAACUUUGUAAUAACUGUCAGACUUAUUAAAUCUCAUAGGCAUUAAUUUUACUGAAAUCUUAAUCUUGAGUUAGUUAUGAUUUCAUGAUUGUAAUUAUUAUUCUAUUUGAGUUACCAAUGGGCACGACACAUACUUAUAGUCAAGAUUACCCGGUAUUUUGGUAGGAGCAAUUAUAAGUAUUGGAGUUAUAGAUUAACAAUAUACAAUUUGUACAAUACAUCUCUUGAUGGGUUUUCAGCACUUGAUCAUAGAAUUCUCUGGUUAGAGUGUGUCAAUAUAUUUAGUAUAUUGAAAAUUAUCAUUAGAGAAAACCAGUAAGUAUCAAGAAAUAAGAUGUAAUUAAAUUGAUAGGAAAUUUGAGAUAUCGAUUUAAUUAACGAUGUGGUACAAAGAAUUAUGCAGUAAAGAAAUCAAUGUGGUAUGAGUCGAAUUAUUAUUCGAGUAUACUAUCCUAAAUAGCAUACAAUUAUGAAUGUCAAUUUCAAUCUUUUAGUGGAGUAGAUUUGGAAUUAAAUAAUUGAGCUAGUUUAAUUACAUACCUAAUUAUUGUAGCCACUAUUGUAUGUACCCAUAUGAUCCCCGCGUUAGCUCAUUUAAUUAACUGCGCCAUUACUGGAUUAAUAAGAAAGAUAACUAGUUAUUUUGGUUAAACGCCUAAAUAUAUUAUUUAGUGGGAGGCUUCAUAUAUAAUAUGCUUGUGUCUAAGGGGCCUUAUAUUAUUUUAUAAGGUGGGCCCCUAUGACAAGAAGAAGUAACGUUAUUUUUUGUUUUAUUAUUUUUUAAUUUAAAUCAAAUUUGAUUUAAUAGAAUUAAAAAAUAUAAAAAUAUGAAGUCCAGGGUUUCCACUAGAUAGAAAUAUAAAGGACUUAUUUUCUCUUAAAAGAAAAGAGAUGUCAUAUUAUACAGAUCAUAGAAAAAUAUUUUUUCUCUCUAAUUUUGAGAGAAAAAUUUUCUCCUACUAAUUGCUUUUAGUGGUAAUAAAGGCGCUCACACGUCAAGAGUAGAUCAAACGUGAGUCAUAACCUAAAAGAUUAUUGGUGAUAGAUAGUGAUCAAACCUACGUUGUGGUGACGGAUCGUGAUCUAACAGGCGUGGUGAUGACGGAUCGUGAUCUGGGAAGCCUGGAUUAAUUUUAAUUGUUCAUCUUCUCGUAUUGUCAAUGUAUGAUUUUCUAGAUUAAGAAUUGUUAUAUAUUGUAUGAGAUCGGUCCUAAAAGUUUUUAUAAAAAUUUAAAAAACUGAUUUUCUCCGACAUCAACAGCCUCCCUAUGCUUUCCAAUGCCCGGAGAAUUUGAAGCUCUGGCGCUUAUGCCAAGCCUUUAAAUCCCACAAACAAAUUCAGGGAGUUAGUGCAUGCCAUUCAUUUGCGGUCUUCAGAAACAGGUUGAUGUCUGGCCGUUGAUACUGAACACCUCUGCAAUUUGGAAGCAGGGAAAUUAUUUUGUUGACACAAAAGCUUCAAACCGUUGAAGCUCUACCCUACAGGAAUGUUGUACGUAUCAAAUUCCAAAAACAAAUGAUAAUUGCUGCUUCCUGUAAGGCGCCAUACCAAGAUCUGCUUUUGUAUUCAUUCAAUCAGAUCAAUCAUAUGGAUUGUCAACCUUCAAGGUUACGAUGAACUAUGAGUGAACAGAGGAGUUGGAAGAAGAAUCAUUAAGAACAGUGCAAAAACUGAGAAGCAGAUAGAGGAAGUUGGCUAUCAUUGAAGAAGAGGCAGCUUACAUUGCUUUAGUUAAUGAUGAACACUUUCAUACAAUUUCUUGUCAUUUUAGCAAUUUCUUGUCAAGUAGUGACAAAAAAUAAUAAUAUUUUGUGAUCAAGUUGGUUCAAGGAUGAGAUUUUGAUUUGAAGAUCAAGUGAGAGGGGAAAAAAAAUCAAUAAAGUAAAAAAACUACAUUGCUUUAGUUAAUGAUGAAAAGUGUCAUAUCUGCUCUUAGUUUGCAUGUUAAUAUGAUUGAAGUAUGAGAGAAACUACAUUUGUCUAAUUCUUUUUACUUUAUUGAUUUUUUCCCACUCUCACUUAAUCUUCAAAUCAAAAUCUCAUCUUUGAACCAACGAUCACAAAAUAUUAUUAUUGUUUGUUACUACUUGACAAGAAAUUAAUUGCUAAAAUGUUUAUUCAUUACGAAUAGUGUUGAACCAAGAUCAGAAAAUGACCAAUCUUGGUGCCACAAGACCUCACUAAACUCUCUGAUUAUUCACCAAGGGACAAAAUAAAUUAACAAUUGAAACAAACAAAAACAGAAUCAAAGAAAUCACAAAGAAAGAACACACACAGUAAUUAUAGAGGACUCAGGCAAAAAUGGCCAUCGUCCUGUCCAACAAGAACAAAUUACAGCGGUGAGAAAUUUUUACAAGCUACAGAAGGAACCCAACUCCAGCCUCUAUGGCUUUAUAUACAGCUCGCAAUUGAUAUGGAAAGAUCCCUCACUUACCAAGACACAUCUUUCCCGCUUCUUGCAACGGCCAUAACGCCUUUUGAUUCAGCUAAUGCACGUGCAACGCACGUGUAUUAACUAUAUUCUCCAAAAACGGCGAUAAAUCAUGUCGUUUAAGAUUCUAUGGCUGGUGAUUGCACGUGCCUCGCAGGUGAUCAGUCACUUAUCACACACAGCUGACAUAUGAUCGUUGUCGUAUGCAUCAUGUAUAAGACAACCGACAUGGCAUCCAGAAACGACGGUACAUCGACUCUUAUUUUCAUCAACAGGCUUUUUGUCUUCUCUUUUUUUUUGAAAAAUUUACAAAAAUAACCAUAAUAUUUUUACAUUUUUAAAUUUAAACCUUCAAACUUUUUUCUAUCAUAAUUAGCUAAAUGCUAAACUUUUGGACUAAAUUGUCCUCGCCACUUUCAUUAAAUUUUCAAAUAAUGCCACUCUUACAAUACUCAACACCCUCAACAAACCUUAACACUCUCAACACCCUCAACAAACCUCAAUACUCUCAACAUUCGCAACACUCUUAGCAUAACAAAAGUAUAAAAUCAUCAAUUAGAGAGUAUUCUGAAGGUUAUUCCAUGUUCUUACAGUAUUCUAAAGGUUAUUCCAUGUUCUUACACAAAUAUAAAUUUUUAAUGUAUUAAGUCUAUGGUUUAAGUUCAAAAUUGAUGUAGAUUUUGUUGUAAAUGUUGUUAUUUUUAUUUAUAAAGUACUGUAAUUUGUUAAAGUAGUUAGAUUUGAGUUGAGAAAUCCAAAAAAUCGUUGAAAACAGUAGAAAUUCGAGUUAGAAAUAAAACCUAGAUUAUGUGCAACAUGUUGAAUUAUGUGCGACAGGCUGGAUGACAGGUGCCUAUCGCACAUAAAUACCACUGUAUUUUUGUGCGACAAGCACCUGUCGCACAUAAUUCAGCAUGUCGAACAAAAUUACAGUAUGUGCGACGGUACUUUUUGGAAGUCAUAACUUAAGCUAUAUUUGUCCAUUUUUUUGCAUAUAAUCUAUCGUUUCGAAUCAAACCCAUAACUUUUUUGUUGGUCUCCCCCAUGAUCAAACAAAAAAUUUGCGUAAAAAACGGAGAAUAUUUGUGAAAUGCAACUUUUUGUGCAAUAGGUGCUCGUCACACUUAAAUUGAUGCAAAUUUUUAGUUUGAUCAUGGGGGAGACCAGCGAGAAAGUUAUGAGUUUGAUUCGUCUCAUUGUAAGCUUCGAAACGGUAUAUUAUACGCAAAAAACGGACACAUAUAGCUUAAGUUAUAACUUCCAAAAAGUACCAUCGCACAUACUGUAAUUUUGUACGACAUGCUGAAUUAUGUGCGACAGGCACCUAUUGCACAUAAUUCAACCUGUCGCACAUAAUUUGGGUUUCGUUUCUAACUCGAAUUUCUACUGUUUUUAAUGAUUUUUUUUUAUUUCUCAACUCAAAUCUAACUACUUUAACAAAUUACAGUACUUUAUAAAUGAAAAAUAACAACAUUUACAACAAAAUCUACAUCAAUUUUGAACUUAAACUAUAGACUUAAUACAUUAAAAAUUUAUAUUUGUGUAAGAACAUGGAAUAACCUUUAGAAUACUGUAAGAACAUGGAAUAACCUUUAGAAUACUCUCCAAUUGAUGAUUUUAUACUUUUGUUAUGCUAAGAGUGUUGAGCAUGUUGAGAUUUAUUGAGAAUGUUGAGAGUAUUGAGGUUUAUGGAGGGUGUUGAGAGAGUUAAGAUUUGUUGAGAGUGUUGAAUAUUGUAAGAGUGGCAUUGUUUGAAAAUUCGAUGAAAGUGGCGAGGGUAAUUUGGUCCAAAAAUUUAACAUUUGGUUAGUUAUGAUUGAAAAAAGUUUGAGGGGUUAAAUUUAAAAAACGUAAAAAUAUUAUAACUAUUUUUAUAAAUUUCCUUUUUUUUUUCUUUAACUAACAAUUAAUAAUACUAGCAUUGACAAGUGACAACCAUAAGGAGUUAAUUGUCAACAAAAUUUAUUGAGUGCAGAUAUUUUGUUGUACCAUACUUGGCAAAAUUCAACACACUCUAGUAAAUGCUGAAAACGGAACUAUUGCAGAGCGCCGGUGGGGUUCACCCGGCUGGAAAAUUAACAAAUUUCCUCCAUUAUUGUAGCCUAAAGACUUUUGAAGACUAGAGACUUAUUCCGAAAUUUCAGCAUCCAUUUUGAUUGAGUAAAAACCAUCUUUCUCGGACGAUUUCGAAGCGAUGGCAGUUGAAGAGCUCUUACUGUCUGCUUUCUUUCAAGUGUUGUUCGACAGAUUGGCUUCUCGUGAUUUGCUCACCUAUGUCGGUCAACUUCGAGGCGGGCUAGAUUCCGAGCUCAAAAAGUGGGAAAAAACUUUGAUAAUGAUACAGGCUGUGCUCAGUGAUGCAGAGGAGAAGCAACUGACGGACAGGGCUGUGAAGAUCUGGCUCGAUGAUCUCCGAGACUUGGCUUAUGACGCAGAGGACAUUCUUGAUGAGUUUGCUACUGAAGCUUUGAAGCAGAAGACGAUGGCAGAAAAUUCGAACCACAGUCCUGCUUGUUUCAACUGUUUUAGUCCAAGUUCUGUCAAGUUUAAUAUCGACAUGGAUUCUAAGAUUAAAAGUAUCACUAGCAGGUUGGAUGAACUAUGUGCUAAAAGAUUUGUACUUGGAUUGCAAUUGAUUCCUGGAGGGAUAUCAAAUGCCUGGAAGCGAAGACCGCCGAGUUCAAGUGUGCCAACGGAACGGGCUGUCUACGGCAGAGAUGAGGAUAAGGCCAGAAUACUUGAAAUGGUGUUAAGUGAUGAUCCAACCGCUGACGCCAACUUUUGUGUAAUACCAAUUGUCGGCAUGGCAGGGGCUGGAAAAACAACGCUUGCUCGGGAGGUCUACAACGACAGGGCUGUGCAAAAUUUCAAGUUUGAUGUGAAAGCAUGGGUUUGUGUUUCUGAUGAUUUUGAUGUUCUUAGCAUUUCGAGGGCUCUUCUCGAGUCAAUCACCUCCACAACUUGUGAUCUCAAGAUGUUGAAUGAGGUGCAGGUUAAAUUGAAAAUUGCUGUGGAUGGAAAAAGGUUCUUGCUAGUAUUGGAUGACGUUUGGAAUGAGAACUAUAACUUGUGGGAAAUCCUCAAAGCUCCCUUCAUGGCUGGUGCACCAAAUAGCAAAAUCAUUGUCACUACACGCCAUUCAAAUGUUGCGUCAACGAUGGGAUCCAUUGAACACUAUAAUCUUAAGCUUCUGUCAGAUGAAGAUUGCUGGUCUGUUUUUGCGAAGCAUGCGUUUGAGAGUAGAGAUGCCGGUGCUCAUCAAUUUUCAGAAUUAUUUGGUAAGAAAAUUGUUGCAAAGUGCGGAGGCUUACCUUUAGCAGCAAGCACUCUUGGCGGCCUUUUACGCGCUAGACAUACAGAAGAUGCGUGGGAGGAUAUAUUGAGCAGCAAAAUGUGGGAUUUGCCUCAAGAAACUGACAUUCUCCCCGUGUUAAGGUUGAGCUACCAUUAUCUUCCUUCUUGUUUGAAGAGAUGCUUCACUUAUUGUGCGAUUUUUCCCAAAGAUUAUGAGUUCGAGAAGAAUGAACUUGUUUUUCUGUGGGUGGCUGAGGGUAUGAUUCAACAAUCAAUGACAGAUAAACGAUUGGAAGAUUUGGGCAAUGAGUUGUUUUGUGACCUCUUGUCUAGAUCACUUUUCCAACAAUCAAGCAGAGAUGGUUGUAAAUUUGUGAUGCACGAUCUACUUCAUGAUUUAGCUCAAUUUGUUUCUGGAGAAACAGGUUUCUGGUUGGAAGAGGCAAAUAAGAAGUUAAGAACAUUCGAAAGGAUUCGUCAUUUUUCUUAUCCUCGUGCUUAUCAAGAUGGAAAAAACAAAUUUGAGGGUUUGAAUAAAGCCACAAGUCUGCGGACGUUUUUGCCUCUGAAAGUAAGAGUUUUUUCAUCUUGUUAUUAUAUAACCAACACGGUUCUUCUUGACUUGCUGCCAAAGCUCAAAAAGUUGAGGGUGCUAUCUUUAGAAGGAUACUGCAUUGCUCAUUUACCUAAUUCUAUCAAAGAUUUGAAGCUUCUAAGGUACCUCAAUCUUUCUGGUACAAUGAUCAAAAGUUUACCUGAGUCAAUAAGUUCACUGUUCAACUUGCGGUUUUUGAUGUUAAGAGACUGUGAUCGUCUACAGAAGUUGCCUUCCAACAUGAGAAAUUUGAUUAAUUUGCAUCAUCUAGAUUUAAAGGGCGCACAUUUAUUAACAGGGAUGCCAUCGGGAAUGAAUAGGUUGAAAUUUCUGCAGACGUUGUCUGAUUUUAUUGUGGGCAGGGGUAUCGGAUCUGGUUUGAAGGAUUUGAAGAAUUUAUCUUUCCUUUGUGGAAAACUUUGUAUUUCGAGAUUAGAAAAUGCGAAUGAUUCAUGGGAUGCAAGAGAAGCUUCAUUGUGUGAUAAGAAGGGUCUGGAAGAAUUGUCAUUAGGAUGGGGCUGUCCAUUUCACUCAAGAAAUGAGGUAGCAGAAGAAAAGGUACUUGACAUGCUGCAACCACAUACAAACAUAAAGAAGCUUGAAAUCACACGAUAUAGUGGCAGAAAAUUUCCAAUAUGGUUAGGGGACCCAUCAUUCUCUAACAUGGUUGCUUUAAAAUUGAUAGGAUGUAAAAAUUGCACAUCCUUACCUGCUGUGGGGCAGUUGGUUUCCCUGAAAGAGCUUACAAUUGAAAGAAUGCUUGUACUCAGAAGUAUAGGGUCUGAAUUCUGUGGAAAGAAUUGCUCAAAGCCUUUUCAAUCCUUAGAGACUCUUUGCUUCAGUGGUUUGCCAGAAUGGGAGAUCUGGGAUACCGGCAACCAGACUGGGUAUAUUGAAAUAUUCCCUCGCCUCGUUGAACUGUCCAUUUCUGGAUGCCCCAAACUAUCUGGAAAAUUACCCGACCAUCUUCCUGCAUUAGAGGCCCUUGUUGUCAGCUAUUGCGAAGAGCUGGUAGUUUCAUUCUCAAGCUUUCCUUUGCUCUGCAAAUUGGAAAUUUAUAGAUGCAAAGGACUGGUUUGCAGCUCUCCGAUUGACUCUAAGUUGAUAAAGCGUUUGACUAUUUCAAGCUGUUCUUUAGACAUAUAUGGAUGCAAAGGGAUGGUAUACAAUAGUCCACUUCACUCUAAAUCACUGUCGACGCCUGUGAAUAUUUCAAAUAUUUUAGAGUUUGGAAAAUUGUUAAAGCAAGGAUUUCUACCAGCAGAGUUUCUGGGGAUUGGCGAUUCUCAAGAUAUUCGGUCAUGGAGGCCCCAGUUUUUUCAGGGUAUGCAAUUUAGGGAGAAGGCAGCACAAGGGCUAUGGAUUAUCAUCGCCCCUGAAGAGGUAUCAACUGAAGAAAAUUGCAUGAGUCUGGUUUCAUUUCCAGAGGUAAAAUUUUUCCCGAUCAAUCGGCUUAAUCUUAAAAUUGAAAAUAGUGGAGCUUUAAAAUCCUCACUUGAGGGAAUGAUAUACAACUGUGCACAGCUGAAAAGUUUGGCCGUUGAAGGUUGUGAUUCUCUAGAAUACAUUGCAAGAGGCAAGCUGCCUUCGUCUUUAGAAUGGGUUCAAAUACUUGAUUGUAUGAAAUUGCAGUGUUUGAUAGUUGAUGAAGAGGAUGCUUCUGCUGCUUCUUCCUCAUUAUCCUCUUCAUCAAUGGCUCUCAAGUGGCUUGUAAUUAGCGGCUGCUCGGAGCUCACCCAUUUAUCAUCAAGAAGUAGACAAUUGCCAGAAGAGCUUGAAUAUCUCAACAUUGAGGACUGUCCAAAAUUAGAGUCAAUAGCCGAGAGCUUUCAUGGUAACGGACGAGUGAAAAUGAUUUUCAUCUCUAAUUGUGGAAACCUGAAAUCCAUACCGAAGGGCCAACAGAAUCUUAACUGUCUUAAGGAAAUCAAAAUCUUGAACUGUCCAAGUCUUGUUUCUUUUCCAGAAGGAGGGCUUCCCAGCACUGUUACAAAUGUUUCUAUUGGCAGUUGUGACAAGCUGAAAGCCCUACCCGAAGACAUGCACAAGCUCCAUUUCCUGCAAGAGUUAGAAAUCACGGAAUGUCCAAGUAUUGAAUCAUUUCCUGAAGCAGGCUUUCCUACCAACCUAACAUUACUUGUAAUUGCUGAUACCAAAAUGUACAAGGCAAUUAUCCAAUGGGGGUUGCACAGGCUUACAUCUCUUCUACGCCUUUACAUACAUGGAGGUGAUAAUGCUGAGUCUUUUCCAGAUGAGAGGAUGGGAAUAAUAUUGCCAACCUCUUUAAAUAGACUGGGUAUUUCUGGAUUCCCAAGUCUGAAAUGCCUAUCUGCAAUGGGUUUUCAAAGCCUGGUCUCUCUUGAAUUUCUGAGAAUAUCCAAUUGCCCGAAGCUCAAAUCCUUUCCAGCGGUAGGUCUGCCACACUCACUUUUGCAGCUGCACAUUCGAGAUUGUCCUUUGCUGAAAAAGCAGUGCAAAAGGGACAAAGGAAAAGAUUGGUCCAAGAUUGCUCACAUCCCUUAUGUUAUGAUAGAUGACAAAUUCAUCUUCGAUUAAAAAGAGAAAGAAUGAGCUCUGUUUAAUCUCCGAAUGAAGAAUUAAAGAAUUGCCUCCUUUGUUCCCUUAUCUUCUAUAAUCAGGUAUGCCAAUUCCUAUUAUCCGGGUUACUAAAAACACAUUGUUAAAUUAUAAACAUAUUUUGAUUUUCAAUUUCAAGAUCAAUCCUCUGCCUUCAACUGAAAAUGGCGCUAAAAUAUUUCAUUUUUACUUUUCUCAGACACUAUGAUACGGCAAUCUGACUUGAUGAUGCUGAAGUUUAAUGCACAAAUGGUUGGUAAGUACCUGAAAAUUUCAAGUUAUUUUAAUACUGUUUCCAUUUUCACUCAUCAGAAUUUUUUACGUAUUUUAUGCAAUCGUACUUGUCAAAUGAAGUUUUCAUUUUAUGAUGGUCUUGAUGCCAACGACAUUUCCAACUCUUUUAAGUUUUUUGAACUCUUGCGAGUGAAAGUCAAUGAGAAGAAGUUUAUGUCCUUUUCCAACGAUCAAUUCAAUUUGCUUCUAAGGAUAUAACAUUAGUCUUAACUUAUUUCAAGUAGCAGACAUGAUUCUAUCUUUCUUCUGUUGUUUUUUCGGAGGCCAAGGUUGCUCACAUUCCUUGAGUUGACAUAGAAGGAAGCAUAAGGGAAGCUCUGAGACAAUCCACAUCAAAAUGUUCACCCACUCUUUCACAGUUUGGAAUGUACUACACUGCCUUCAAAAUGGACUUUUCGAAUCAAAAGGCAGAAAGGUAAUCAAUCAUACAGGGUUAAAAAGUCGGUUAAAAGUUAGUUUAAAAGCUUCUUAUUUUGUACAUGGAUCAUGGCAACAUUUGUUUCACGCUGAUGGGCUUGAGAAAUUGAUUUGCACAUGGAUCAUGGCAACAUUUGUUUAAUUUGGAUAUUAUUUGUUUUUAUACUGGCUUUUAGUUUAUUUUAGGUUCUCUGAGCAAAAUUUUAUCCUAAUGCGAUUACUUGGAACACCAGUGUGUGUUUAAAAUGAAAUUGGGUCAUCUUAUCGCAGUUCUACGACCAAUCCAAAAAAAAUCCCCAACAAGAAAAUCAAGGAAAUCAGAUCAAUUAGUGCAAGACUUGGCUUUGAGAAUAGAAGAAAACGAAACAUAAUCUUAUAUAUGGUGUCCAAAUUAAAGAAAAUUUGAGGACCAGUUCGGGAAAUCCCUAAUCAAAUUUUAGGAAGCCGGAUAACUUGCAGCCAGAAACCAAGUGAAUAAUAGAAUAAUUUGAGUAUGUAUUGUUAUGUCUAUAAUAGUAAUUUAAAUUUUGAACAAUUUUGUAAUAAAAGAAUUUUUUUUUUUUACAGGUGGAUCUAAUGUGUGUUUUGGCAGAUUAAAAUAACCGCACCAUUUUUUACAAUCACAUAAUGAGAAAAAUUACCAAAAUCCCCUUUAUUUUCUUAGAGAUUAAUCGUUUUAGAAAUUCACUAAAUUUUUUUACAUUAAUUUUUAUAUUAAUUAUAUUUUAUUGAAGUAUCAAAUUAUUGCUAUAACAUGCGAAAUCUUUUAAUGAGUUUUAAACAUAAAGUAAAAAUGUUAAAUUUUAGCUAAUAAGAGUAGCAAUCGACAAUUCAUGGUGUAAAAAUAGCUGUAUCUACCAUUUAUAUAAAAUAGAAAAAUAGGAACCAAGAAUAUUUAAAGUACACAAUUUUUAUUUCCACUUACUUGCAUUUUUUACAUUCCUUUUUUUUCUUCAUUUUAGUUGGGGUGUUAGAUAAAUCCGUAUGGAUAUAUACUUAUUACAGUCAUUGUAGCGAUCCACAACAUUCUUCCACCACAUUAAACAAGUGAGAGAGUAACUAAGAAAAAACCCAAAAAUCCACUUUUCAUUUUAUUAAGUUGAAUUUCUUGCACAGUCUUACUUCAUUAUUCAAAAUUUUUAACUUCCUCCAAUAUUUUAAUGUUAUUCUAUAUUUAAAUAUAUAUUUCUAGUGGAUAUAAAAGGUUCUGAAAGAUGAUACAAUGAAUAUGCCUUUUGAAGAAAAAAAUGGCAAAAAAGAAAUUAUAUGUAACAUAUGUGAAUUUAAAAUAAAAUGAGGCGGUUAAGGAUUUUGGCGGUUAAGGAGUUUAUUAAUAAACAAAAGAAGAAGCUGGAAAAAACAGAGCAAAAACAGAAGCCACACGUGUGUGAGAGAGUGAGAGAGAGAAGCUAUCAACAGACUCGACAACCCGACCCGGAACCCGCGACCUUGACCCGACUAUAUCUCCCAUUUCCAGCCACCGUUUCGGCCGAGCUUGGGAGUUGUAAAUUAGGGAUAGAUGUUAAUGAUCUACGGACUCAAGGGCAUUUUAGUAAUUUUAUGGACACGGGAGUUGUAAAUUAGGGAUAGAUGUUCGUUUCGAGUUUAUUGCAUAAAUUUAGUCAUAAUUCCGAUUUACGGAAAAUUAUUAUGUCGUUUCCUUGAUUUAGGAGGAUCCGCGAGCGAGAACCGGUCCGCGGAUGUGGAUGAUAACCGACCGUGAACACCGUCACUGUGAGUGGAAUAUACAAAACCUAUUUUCAUAGUUAAUUUUGAUAGUAAAGCAUGUUUGCGAAAUAAGUAUUUUAAAUGUUCUGAUUUAAUGAUUUCUCGAAAUGGAUUUUAUUCACGCAUUGAUAUUAUAUUAAAAUGUUUGGUUAUUGAUUUUGCGUAUCGACUUUGAAUAAAGCAUGAUAGUAUUUUAAAGAUAAGAAAAGUGGAUUCAAAUGUGGUAUAAUUUAAAAUAUGAUUAAGAGGUAUGUGAAUAUAAUGAUUGUUUUUGAAAUCAUUAGACAGUACCCUUCCCUCCAGAUACAGUGAUACAUAUGAGAUGAGAUGAGAGGCCUUUGGGGCCCGUCUGAACACACAUAGAGGCUUUGGGCCGUGUGUUUGGGCGCUUUUGCCUUUUGGGGGCAUAUGCAUGCGGUAUGAUGAUUACAGAGAUACAGAUAUGAGAUACACACAGAUAUUGAGAUACAUAUGAUACAGAUGAGAUACAGGCCUUUGGGGCCCGUCUGAGUACACACAGAGGCUUUGGGCCGUGUGCUUGGGUUUUUGUCCUUUAGGGACUAGAUUAUGCAUGCACAGAUAUGAUGAGAUAUGAGAUGGUAUUUCCAUGUCUAUCUGUGUAGCUCCGGGGCGUGGCGGUACCCAAAUAGUACGUCAUUGCCUGUCCGUUGAGGUCCGGAUACGACGAGAUUAUUUCCCUGGGUACUUGUUUGGUGAUGAUUUUCAGAUUUGUGUAUUCUAUAUGAUAUUGUGAUAUGAUUUGCAUGGUUAGUAAUCUGGUUUAAAUGUUAAAUGAUUUAUUACUGGUUUCUUGCUUAUGGUUUAAUGAAAUCGUGUUUGGAAAUAAUAUGAUUAUUUCUUUUUAAAGUAAGAAUUAAUUUUCAAAACUACUAUCCACUCACUGAUCUCACUGAGUUUUAAACUCACCCUGUUUUUAUUAUAUUUUUCCCCCACACCAGGAGGUUGCAGGUACACCAGAUCGACCCAGCGACUGUAAAUAUAUUUUGAGUCUUGGCCAAUGAUGGUGUUAGAAGAUAUAAAUGGUUUUGUUAGGACAUCUUGGUUAUUUCGUCCUGUUGGGAUUGUAUAAUUUUUGUUAUAUUAUUCUUUUGGGAUUAAGAAUAAACUGAGAUAUUAAUAUUAGUUAUAAUAUUAUCUUUUGAGACUCUGGAGAUAUAAAACUCAGCAUUUUAGUUGAGGAUGUUGAUCACUGGAGUUUGUUAUAUAUUGAAUUGUAUUGAGAGUGUUAUAUUCAUAUUUGUAGAUUGGGAGUGAUAUAUAUAUAAAGGAGACUGUGCCGAAUUUUCGGCAGAAUCUUUACUAAUAGAAUUUUUAUCAAGUCCGGUUUGAUGAGACUAGAUAGACUCGUCUGGGGGGGAUUCGGGGCGGGUCGUUUCAUUAUACAAAAAUUUAGGAAACAAAAUUUUUUUUAGGUGUUUCAUGCAUCUAAAUGUGUUAUAAAUGUAAAACAAUAAAUUGAAAGGAUCUUUCACAAAUCUUUUGAUUUGAGAAGAUGAAAAUCUAUAACUAACACUUGAAUAAAUCAGGUUUAAGAAAACAAAAAAAAAAACUAUUUUUCCUAGUGUAUAUAUAUAGCUUAAAAUUAUAAUCUUUUUUAUUUUCACCAAUUAGCUUUAAAAUUUAAAAAUCUUUUUUUAUUAAAAAGAAAAUAGUUUGAAUAGAGAGUGGAAUUGGGGACUUCUAGGUUUGAAGUUUUUGGGAGUGAUGAAGAACUAAGAGCUGAAUAGCAUUGGGUGCAAACAAUUGGCGUGGCUUUGGCUUUUUAUAGGACUUCAUUGUUCACGUUACUUAUUCGACACAUGGCUUCUCAUGGGUGGAAUUUGUUUUACAACUGACUUCACAAUUCACAUGUAGCUUUAACAACUUGGGACACAUGGCUUUGACGUGGGUUGAGUUUGUUGUAAUGGCUUCUCGUGGGUGGAGUUUUUUCUGUGAUUUGCGAUUGACGAAUUGGUAAAGGCAAACGAUUUGGACUAAUUACGUCCGAACUACACAUGGGAACUUUAAGAGUGAAAUCUUGUUGCAGAUUGACGUGGUCAAGGUUACUAGGAGUGGUCUUAAGUUCAGAUUGACAUAACGGUAAUAGACGAGGAAGAGGAAGAGACGAGGUUCAACUCGCAGAUGUAGCUUGAUGACGGAGCAGCUGGCGGAUUUUUAUUUCUUAUUACUCCCUCAAGUUUAAUUAGUUUCACAAAUUCGUUUUUACGUUUGAUCUUGGCACAUGUUUCAUUUUAACUAAAUAGAGAACCAGAAAAGAGCAGAUAACUAGAGCUGAGAGAUCUAUAUGUACAAUUUAAAACUCGUUAAAAUAAAUGAUUUCAAUACAAAAAAAAUAAGGUUAAAGAGAUUACAUUUACAAUUGAUAGUUUGCGAAAGGACCAACUAAAAAGUAAACAAUAAAAAGACUUAACUUUCUAUACUGACUCAAUAAUGAUAAAGUGUCGAUAAAAAUUGACAAAACUAUAUUGUACCUUGGGGUUAUUCAUAUCGUAUGUAGUGUGCUAAUAAAUUAAGGAAAUUAAUGCUCCUGUGAAACCAAAAAAUAAUGUUCAAAAUCAUUCUCCAAAUUCAAUGUUAAAUUAACAACUUUUAGUAAGUUUACUUCUUCGAUUAUUUUUUUCUUUAAAUUUUUUAUGAAUAAACAUUUUUUUUAUCAUUUAGGAGAACCGACUAUCUUUAUUUUAAAGAAUAAGAAUGUCUGCCCAAAAAAUGAAACUCAAACCCAAAGGUAAACCACAUUUGCCAACUGCCAUUAAGAAAAAGGCGGUAGCAGAACAAUAUCAGCCAAAUCAUCAAAUUAAUUAUUAAUUGGUUUACAAUAAGAGGGUGAUGUUUCAUCUUACAGAAGCAAGGGGCAAAGCCAAUCCACCACUAGACUGGCAAAUCAAACGAAUACACAACCCUGCAACCACAGAAAAAAUCUUAAAAAUAGAGCAAACAUAAGAAAAGAUUUACAUUCAUUCAACUUUCAACCUAAUGAUAUGUUAUAUGUAGCCCUCCAAUCUCCUUUUCUUUCGGCUUUGUAAAUUCUUUUUAGCCAAAAAUAUACUUGGAUCUGUCGGAUCUGAUGACACGAACACUUUUUAAGUGUUCAUCUGUCUGCUUAGUGGGAUGACGAUUCAAGGCCGUCGAUACUUUCGGAAACAAAGACAACCUUGAAGCUGAUCACCCGGGAUCACACCCCCACCUUUCGAUGUGUCAAGGGCCUCCCACAUUGAAACUCCUUAAUCCAUCUCAGGCCGCUUAUCAGGGUUAGCAUCCCAGCAUCUCUUCAUUACAUUUGCUUGAGAACUUGGGCAGCGUCUUGGUAUCUCCGGUGUCUCAGAUUCUGUUUCAAAAUGAAUGUAGACAGAAAUAAGAAAUGGGUUGCAUUUUGAGGUACCAAUUUUUUUUUUUUCCCCUUUUUUGAGGACCUGUUGAAAAUGGUCGAUUCUUAGAGAAAGAUAAUAUUUGGGCUUGAAGCAGAUACUGUACCCGGCGAACCACGGCUAAGGUGACUUCUGAGAAACUAAGGUCGGGAUAUGGCAUAUCACAGCAAUAUAUCUCCCAUACGCAGAUGCCAGAACUUUACACAUCACAUUUCCUUGCCAUUCAGAACCAAAAACCAAGCCACUUGAUUCACUCAACUCAGAUUAAUACUGUAUCAUUAGCUAAAACAUUAGUAUUUCCACCAAACAAAAGAAAAAAAAAAGCUCAUAGUAACACGGACAUUCCAAAGCCAACACUUCCCAUCAUCACAUCAAAUGAAGCAGAAAUUAACGGGAGAUGGUGCAAUUAAGAUUUUAUAGGAAAUGACCUUAUAUGUAUGACUGAUCUUCCAGACCUAUACCCCACUACAUUUUCCUUGAAACACAUAAAGAAAAACUAACAGCCAUGAAUUAUCUUUUUCUAGUAAAAGAAACUGACCUCAAAAUCACACUACAUAUAUGCAAGUAGAAAAGAAACAGAAAUAAAGUCUAUACCUCCGGAGCCAUGACACCAAGCGUCUCCCCCCUCUCCCCCCCCCCCCCAGUCAGGUCAUUAGGAUUUGGGGCUUCAACACCGGCAACUACAAGAUCAGCAAUUUUUACAGUGGGAGUCUUGUUCAAUAAUAGCAUGUUCUCUGUUUUCACAUCUCUGUGGACAAUCUUCUGUGAAUGAAGGUUACUCAAUCUACAAAAUAUAACUGCUGAGCUGAACAAGAUUUCGAGUCACAGGCCAUCCUAUAGAGCCAUAGGGUAACAUAUGGUAGAAAAAUUACAAUUACUAAUGGGGUAGAUAUAGGUACCCUCCGUCGAGAUCAAGUGCUAGCUGGACAACCACUUUGAAAGCUAGUUUCCUUCUCCUGUGGUAAGUUUCAUUUCCUUUUAGAUUUUACCACGUGUUCAGCUUAAUUUCUUCAAAUUACUCUGAUUUAAGACCAAAUUAGACUUUCGAAUAAGGGCUUAAGCAAUAUAUAUAAUGCAGAUGACCUAGGAAAUGGGCAAGGAUACUUGGUAAUAUGAAGGGACAAUUUGGAUGUGUUCGCAAAAAUGAAAAGACAGUAACCCCUGAAAUAUUGGAUGCGAUUGAUGACUUGACGGUCAAUCUAACGUUUUUUUUUUUCUCUCUAAAUUUUUUAAAGCACUAAAUGCUCUCAGAUCCAUUUGCCAUCUAUAUUGAGUAUAUUCUAAUUAUAAUUCUAUCAUUGUUUGUCCUUUGAAAGUAAAUACUUACAAAACUGUAUUUAAUACUCUAUUUUAAACCCACCACCAAAAAUAUAAAAUAAAAUCAAAAUGUAUCUAUUAAAUUAAAUAAUUUGCACACACUACGGCUCUCAAUAGUCUGUCUACUUAUAAACUAAAGUUAUUUAUUAAUCAUGGUUAAUAUGAGAUGUAUGUAACAGAAAAACAACAAAUAGCUGGCUUGCUUUGCUCCAGAAAAAUCAUCGAGAUUUCGGUUAGGCAAACUGAGCAGUCCAAUUUUGGUACAAUAAUUUGUCUAACAAUUUUUAGUUUAGCAUUAAAUCAUAAUAUCGUUUUUUAUUAGCAUUAAUUUAAUUUCUUUUAAUUAAUGAUUAUGUUAUACGUAUAGUGUUACUCUCAUCAUCGUUUAACUUUUUUAAUCCACUACUGAUUAAUGCUUCAACAUAUUAUAAUUCAGAGAGAAUGACAAUUCCAUACCUCCUUUCUUUUUUUCCCUUCUUUUUUUUUUUUUUUGGCAUCACUUAGGUUUCUUGUAGAUUUUUAGUACCACAUUUUAUCAAUGACUAAAAAUGUUAAUUGAAAAAUUAUGCGGUUGACGGUAAAAUAUAGUUGGUUUAUUGAUACACAAACUAAUGCAUAAAAACGGGAGGUUGCUAUGUUACAGCAUCUGUAACAUACACACCCAAAGCAAAUAGCACACGUGUCCCGACUUACAGAGAAAAAGCAACGCAAAGCAAGGUUGGGGGGUUGCUGAAGCAGCAUCUGUAAGUUACAGAUGCUGUGACUUAGUCAGCUCCCAUAAAAACGUAUUAACAUUGGUCCAGUUAAUGAGGUCCUUUCAUGCCGGCGCAACAUGAUCGUGCAAAUAUGAAAUUUUCACUGAACAUUGGUGAGCCAUGGUCCAAAACAAUAACCGGACCAGUUAAUGAGGCUGGCUUAGUAUCUAUAAACAAGGACUAGCCCCAGUAUCAGUCAAUCAAGGCUUCGGCAGUUGGCAUCCCAAACCCAAUCAAGUGCUCUAUCCUAAAACUAAGAGUGGACCUUCUAACACCCCUUCAAAAUUCUUAUGAAACCUUUUUUUCCCAAUUAUUAUUAUUCUUAUUUUAAUACCAACAUACCCUUUUCCUAUUAAAUUCCAUUUACAAUUAUUUUAGUUUAUUCCAAUUUAAUUAUUUUAAGGCCUUAUUUGGUAAUGAGCUACUGUAAUUUUUACAGCUACUAUGAAAAAAAACUGUAACUAUAAAAUAAAAGUUAAUAAUAUACAAUAAAUAUAAUUUUUAAAUAAUGAUUUUGACGAAAUUAAUAAAGAUAUACUAAGUUUUUUAUCAUACAAGUAUAAAAUCAAAUCAACUUAGUUUUUUAGCUAUAAUAGUUAGUAUUUAUUAAAUAUUUUAGUACGGUAAAAAUUACAGCUCCCCAACAUCAAUUCCAAAUAAAUACUUAAAUUAGAUAGAGGCGAUGAGUUUGCAAAACUAUGUAAACUUAAGCGGAGCUUCUUGAUGGUUCCUCCAAUCGCGGUCAUGAUAGCAAAUGUUGAACUUGGAAAAACAUAAGCUGCCGAACUCAAUAAGCAUUUGGAAUAGAUAGUACAUCAUGUAGUUUUAAGACCAGUUUUUUUUUUUUAACUUUUCUUACCGGGUGAAACAAAACCCAUGCCUUACUUUUGGUCUUUUGGAUAGAUGAGUCAAAAAAAAAAAAAAAGCACUCGUUGAUUUUUCAGAUUUAGAGAGAGAGGAGCGAUCGAAGAGUUUGUAGAGAAAAUAAGAAUACCCUAGGUGUGAAACGUGUAGAUGAGUUUGUUCUUCAAUAGCAGGGUAUUAAUAGCUGUAUUGUAAGGCAAAUAGAUUUUCCCUUAAGCCCAUUGAAACUCGGCCUAUAUCUAAGGAAUAAGUAGACUUUAAUUCUCAAGCUGAUUUGGGGGACACUGGGCCAGGCUGGCUUCGUUUUGUUUUUUGUUUUCUCUCGCAAAUAAAAUUACCAAUUUAAGAGCAUCUCCAAAAGAUUUUUUAGAUUUUAUUCUUUAAAUAUCAAUUUACUUAAUGAUGUGAUAAAUAAGUGGAUAGAAAAAUACAAUCUCUUCUAAAAGACUCAUUAAAUAAGAAUAAGUUAACAUUAUUUUAAUCAAAUCUUUCCACUAUUAAAUUGAAUUGAUGUUAUGUUUUUGAAAGGAAACAUAAAUGAUAAUUAUUGCAGUCUUAUCUUUUCAAUAAAUAAUAAAAAAAUAUUAACAGAAGAGAGAAAAACUCACUCGGCAAUAUUAAAGAGUGAGAAACGAAUCUUAUUUGAAGAAUCUAAAUUAACGUGUCUUUUGAAGUGUUUAAUAUUGAUAUGACUCUUCAAAUAAGAUAUAGAAUUUUAUUUGAAGAGUCUUUUGGAGAUGUUCUAAAGUAAGGCUUUGGCUACCUUAGAGCUGUUCUAAAGUAAAGUAAGAAUCACAGCCACAUAUACAAAAUGAUAAAUAUUAAAAAAAUUAUUAUAACUUUAAUCAUAUGGUUAUAAAAAGUUGUUCUACCUUAAAGCAAUUCCAAUAUAAUUGAACUCAAUCCCAAUUAGUUAUAAACGUAAAGUUUCACUAAUGCGGUGUGUGUUUUCAUGUGUCAAAAUUAUAAUUAUUGAUUUACUUCUACAUAUGUAACGCACUACGAGCGUAAACUAUCGAAAUCGUACCAUUAUUAUAAAUCUGUUCUAAUCUAUGAGGCUUUUAAUUGAAAAUAUAAUAGAUUAUAUUGUAAUUCAAAAUAAAAACGUAUAAAUGUCAAAUAAUAAGUUAACAUACGAGUGCAGUCUCACACAAAUUUUUCUCGGUGCACGCAUUGCCAACUUGGAAAAUCUACUCAACUAAUACUUCCUUCUCUUUACUGUUGCAUUGACUUUAGAAAGUUAAUUUUAGGGGUCUUGUUACAAUGCACCAGCUGCACCAUCUAACAAGUUUUACAUUGUCCUUAACCAAUUAUUCAUUCAUAAUCGCUGAUUCACUAUAUUAUUUUUAUGCAUAACAUGUUUUUGUAAUACAUAUAGUAAAUUAUGUAUACAACGAAAAAGUUAUUAUCAAUUAAAAAAAUAAUUGCGGAUGUAUGGUGCAGCAUGCUGCGCUAUAACACACUCUAAAUUAUUAAAAUAAUAGAUAAAUUAAAAGAUAAAUAAAACAUAAAUAAAAUAUUUUAUUUUUUAAUAUAUUAAAAUAUGUGUUUUACAUACCUUUUAAAUUAUUUCUUAUUUUAAUAAUUUAAAAAAUCUUUCAUUCAAAAUCUAUUCUAUACAUAUAUUAAGUUGGCCCAUUUUGAUAACAUAAUAUUUACAUGCAUGAACUUGAUCACUAACACAUAUACUACAUGAGUCGCACCUGAUGAAAAUUCCAUAUGAUAUAUAUUCAAGUGAUCCAGAUCGAUAGACAAAUUAAUUGUACCAACUACCAUGUUACAGUUAAAAUUGGAAAAUAAUAUAUAGUACAUCUUCCUUUUAUGUAGCAAAAUAAUAUAUACAGUACAUUUUUCCUUUACGUGGCCCUCAUGACGUCAAGGUAUAAAUCAUCAUGUGACAGUGAUUUAAUGUGGACAUCUAAUGGACCGCCAAUAUCCAACACUGAAAGUUAAAUCAAUUUUUGUCUUUCAACAAUUGUAUAUCAACAAUUUAUGGUCCUAAUUUUAACAUAAUGUGAACGUUCAAAGAAGACAAAAUACUUGAAAAUUUAGCAACCUAUUUUUCCACGUGAGGAGUCAAGCUCCCCCUCCAUUGCCUUUGCAUUUAUUUUUCAGUAAUAUCACUUUUUACUUUAUAUAUGAGAUUUUUAAAAGUAGAUUUAGUAGUCAGAUUGUGUAUAGAUAUCUAGAGUGCCAACGAACUAUAUAAGCUCUGCAUAAAGGAACUUUUUUUAUUCUAAGCUCCCUAGCUUUUAACGGUCUUAUUCUACAUUUUAAUCGUAUAAUAAUAUUGUAUAAUUGAGAUUUAAUUGUUAUUAUUAUAUUUUAACUUACUAACCACGAAUUAUUUACGUAAAAGUUACUCAAAAAGAACUCAUAUUAGGAGGGAAUAUGGUCAGUAAGUAACCAAAGUAUGCCACAACAAAAAAUGAUUUAGAUAUGCUAACGGUAAAUCUUAACUAGUGCUUGUACUACUUAUACAUGUACGUUUGUACUACCAAUGGUGAAGCCAGAAGUGUCCAGUCUGAGCAAGUACUACCUUAUUAAGUUAAUUUUCUUCCAAAACUUCAAUCCAGAAAGUGUGAGAAACGACAAGCACCGUGCUUCAAUUUUCCCCUCAAAAAGAAACAAGCAAGAAAAGAAAAAGCACACACGCUAUACUUUUUAGUUCAACUUCCUCGGUGCUUUAAAGCUCUUUGGGAGCUGCUGUCGAAGUGUACUCGGCAAAGGUUAGCCUGGGUCCAAUUGUUCUCAUUUGCAGGUCAGAUCUAAAAUUGGGUCAGCAAGAUAAUUGCAUAAUUGAACCCAAUUCAAACACCAUAAUUGUUUUAGAAAGACUGAUAUGCGUUUGUAAUUGGUUUUGGUAUAUUUGUAUUUCACCAUCAGUGCGGCAGCUUUUUUUUGGGGAAAUUUUACAAAUUAGCCAUUAAAAUUUUGUAUUUUUCACUUUUAACCCCACUAACUUAUUUCUAUCAAUAUUAGCCAAACAACAAACUUUUGGACCAUAAUACCCUUGCAAUCUCACCCAAAGCUCACCAAAGCUUGAACUCACCUACACUUCUCACCAAACGGAAGCACCAUAGAGAGCCAAAUCGGAGACCAUCAUCGGCGGCAAUCUCACCGGAAUCCCGUUCAGCAACACUAAUUCCACCAAAAUCACGUAUAAUAGCAAUCAAAAUCUACAAGAUAACAGUUGAAGUUCAAAAACCCUAGGUUAGCAAUUUCAAACACAUGCUUUAUAUUGUUCUUGUGUUGUGUUGUAAUUGUGUGUUGUUGUGAUGAUGUUUGUGGUGGUUGGUGGUGGUUGGUGGUCUAUUGUCGGACUGUGUUGGAGGCAAUACGUUGCAAUGGCUGUUGACCAAUUUGUGAAAAUUUGAAUUUUUUGUGCGACAGGUUCCCGUCGCACCAAAUUUUGUGCGACUGCCUUUCUGUCGCACAAAAAAUCUUAUUACACAAUCUGAAAUUUUGUGCGACAGGUUCCCGUCGCACCAAAUUUUGUGCGACUGCCUUUCUGUCGCACAAAAAAAUCUGAUUACACUAUCUGAAAUUUUGUGCGACAGGUUCCCGUCGCACCAAAUUUUGUGCAAUAGAUGCUGUCGCACAAAAAAAUCAUAUUACACAAAAUUUAGGUUAUUUUCUGGAGGUCAUAAUUACAGCUAAAUAAAUUCAUUUUUUGUGUAUAAUAUAUCAUUUCAACGCUUGCAACGAAACAAAUCAAACCCACAAUGUGUAACCACAUUUGUUAUAUUUUUUGUAUAUUUUGUAGAUUUAAUGGAUUCAGUUGUGCUUCAACUGUGUUACGACGGUUGGUGGGAGACGUUGGCGGAUGGGAGUAUGGAGUACGUGAAUGGCAAUAAUACAGCCUUUCUAAUUCGAAAAGACUGUACAUUUGAUCAGUUUCUGGCAAGAGUUUAUGAUGUGUUACAGAUAAAUCGUAAUGAAUACAAUAUCACCAUGAAGACAACUUUGAGGUCUAGUAAUACAAUGUAUCGUACAUGUUCACUGCCUAUGGACAUAUUUAACGAUGAAAUAGUCAAGGUUGUGUUACAUAUGGCCUCUGAUGUGGUAAAUUACGGAUGCAUUCCUAUUUUUAUGACCACAUCUUCUCGAGUUGAUUACCAAGAUCUUGAGCCACCUGUAGAAACUGAAACUUCUUUUAGAGCAAAUGUCUCUGUCCCUGAUAGUGAAGAAGAGGUAUUACCACAGACACUGUCUUUACAACAACGUUACUCUCCACUCCACGGCUACAAUGACACUAUUAAUGACAAUGGCAUUACCCUAGCGGAUGUUGAAGCAGAGGCAUUACCACAGACAUUGUCAUUAGAGCAACGUUACUCUCCAUUCUACAAUAAUGAAUUUCGCAGUAAUGAUGAUCCUAUUGAUGACAUCGGCAACACAGCAGUAGAUAAUGUUUGUAUGGAACCAUAUAAUAAUACAACGGACAACCAUUUCAAUAGUUCAGUUUGUGAUGGAGGCGUUGGUCCUUCUCAUAUUCCUACUAAUGUUGAUGAUGAUGAUCAGAAUAGUAUUCCUAUUAAUAACAUUGCCAGCCAACCUAUUCCUUCAGUGCCACGUUCGAGAAGGAGAACAACAGUUGACCACCUCGCACAACUUGCUCCAGUUUUACCUUCAAACUUAGCUGCUCCUAACUUGGUCAGAAAUUAUAAUUAUGAUGAUAUUAGUGUGGGUAAGUUGUUUGUUGCCAAGAAUGAGUUAAUACUACAACUGCGUAAAGUUGCCUUGAGGGGUAAAUUUGAUUUCAGGAUCACACGGUCCACAACAACACGUUUCGAGGCCCAGUGUUCUUCGGAAUUAUGUAAAUGGCGUAUUCGAGCAACAAGAGUUUCGAAUGAGCAGAAUGUUCCGUGGUUAGUGAGAAGAGUUGACAACGUACACACUUGUUGUAAUGAGGUAUUGGCUGGUGGUGUUCAUCAAGUAAGGAGUCGGGUUGUUGGUCAUAUUAUUACGGACAAGUUCAUCCAAGAAAAACGAAUAUAUACUCCAAAUGACAUCAGAGCAGACAUCCAGCAGGAAUACGGUGUCCAAUAAUUUGUAAUUUCCUCAUUUGCAUCUGCCUGGAGGGUUUGCAUAACAUUCCCCUGUCAGUUGAUUACCAAAUUUGAAGUUAGAAAAUCUUUUUAGUACUUAACAUUUUUAUCGUUGUUUAAAUAUAUAUAAUACUUACAACACGAGUGUUAUCGUUGAAAAACGAAUGCACUGCAUCAUAAGUUAUUUUCGAAGAAACAAAUGCCUUCCACUUUAAGAUGCGGGGAAUAUGAUUGUUUAUCUUUACGGCCCACAGUGAUGGUAUCCCCUUGAUCACUUUGAAAAGCCAAGCCUACAACAAACAAAGUUAAAAAACCACAUAAGUUAAUUUGGUAUAAAUAUACUACUAACGAACUCUGAUAUUAUUUUUUUUUUACCAACUCACCUGAACCCCAUGACUGAACCCAUAAAUAUUGUAUUUCUCAAUAUUAUGAGAUGGAUCUUUCAAACGCUCCAUCUUAAAUUUGUUGGCCUUCUGGUUCAAUGCAUUGUUCAAACUGUCGUAUAUUAUUUCCCACGAUAAACGACCCCAUGGACGACUUCGAAAGUGGUCUAUAUCGUCAACAUGAUUCAUUAGCUGAAAGUCAGCUUGACUAUGAUCCUUUCUCCCCUUCAGUACCCUAUCCACAAAGUAAUACAACGCGAUUUUCAAGGCAUCAGUGUCGUCCAUGGCACGAAAUUUCAAAGCGGAAAAUCUAGCAUCCAAUUGCUUGAGAGUCAAGUCCUUAAACCGACCACCGAAGUACUUAUUAUGCAACCUAUGUUGCGUCUUCAAAUUUUUUGGUUCGACGUUCGGACCAUUGGAAAGCCCCGUAAUGAGGCACCAUUCUCCAAUUGAUAAACGAACCAAGUGCUCUCCAAUUUGAAACCAUAAUUGAUUUUUAUUAGUUUUUUUAUGUGCCACUUGCCUAAGCAAUAGGUUGUGAAAUAUAACACCACUGAAAUUAUAACUACCCAAGUCCAGGAAGUGCCCAAAAACAUCACUUCUAAACAAUGACAAUUGCUUGUGCGUUAGCUUACACUGGAUAGCUGCGAUGACUUUUUUAAAUUUUGACGUCUCUGAAAUACGACCCGGGAAAUGAUCAUCAAAAUAUAACUUCAUCACGCCCGGCUCCUUCCCAGGUUCAGGCGAAUUGCGCUUUGCCAACUUAGUUUUCGCCAUCUACCUGAGACAAUUGAAAUUUUAUUCAUUAUUGUGUUAUUUAUAGAAUAAUAAUAUUAAUAAUAUAAAAUAAAUAAGGUAUCUACAAAGUAAAAAUGGCCUUGGGUGUAAUCUAUAUUUUUAUGCGACAAUCUAUUGCUGCAUUUUUUUAUCACACACGAUCUGAAUUUUUGUGCGAUGAGUGCCCGUCGCACAAAUAUUUUUGCGACGGCCACUUAUCGCACAAAAAAAUAGUCUUUUCUUUCAGCAACAUGCUUGAAUUUAAAGUCGACGGCCACCCGUCGCACAAACUUUGGUGCAAGGGGCACCGGUUAUACAAAAAUUAAGAUCAAAUACUCUUGAAAAAAAAUCUGAAUUUUUGUGCGACGGGUGCCCUGUCGCACAAAUAUUUUUGCGACGGGCACCCGUCGCACAAAAACUCAGAACAUGUGUUGUGAGUUUUUGUGCGACGGGCACACUGUCGCACAAAAAUUUUUGCGAUGGGCACUCGUCGCACAAAAAUUCAGAAUGUGUGUUUUGAGUUUUUGUGCGACAGGCACACUGUCGCACAAAAAAGUUUGCGACGGGCACCCGUCGCACAAAAAUUCAGAACGUGUGUUGUGAGUUUUUGUGCGACGGGCACACUGUCGCACAAAAUUUUUUGCGAUAGGUACUUUUGUGCGACGGACAAACUCGCGCAAUGGGAAUGGGUGCAGCAAGCAUCGCGCGAGCUGCAGCAACCAUCGCGAUGCUUGCUGACCCAUCGCGCGAGAUCGCGCGAUGGGUACUGCAGCUCGCGCGAGCUCGCGCGAUGCUUGCUGCAGCUCGCGCGAUGCUUGCUUCAGCGCGCGCGAUGGGUGCUGCACCCAUGGCGCUGCAGCCCAAUCCCGCUGCACAAUCACACACCCUUCGCACAAAAAAUCUCCGUUACAAAACAACACACUCCCAAAAUCCACAACCACCAUUACAAGCACUACCACCACCAUUGUUAUUCUCAAAUUUCAUUCUUAAUUAAUCAAAUAUAAAUAAAAUGGCUUACUUAUGUUGAUGGUGUGUGAAGCCGUCGCCGGUGAUGGUUGAAGCUGCUGCCGUUUUGCCUCUUGGAGAUCUCACGUGAAAGAGGUGGAGUUGGGGGAGAGAUGGAGAGGGCACUUUGGUCUUGAAAUUUUAGUUUUGGCUAAUAUUGAUAGAAAUAAGUUAGUGGGGUUAAAAGUGAAAAAUGUAAAAUUUUAAUGACUAUUUGUGUAAAUUUCCCUUUUUUUUGAAGUAUAGUGAAUGAACAGAGAAAUUUGUCGGCAAGCUUAUCCCAACUCCUUGAUUGCUAGUUUUAAGUGUCUAUUCACAACAAUGAGCCAAGUUGAUUCAUCUCACUACCGGUAUUUAAGGUCAAAUUUAUUAACUUAAAUCUAAUAUGUUAUUAUACAACUUAAACGAUAAUCCCAAGUUUUUUAAACUUUUAACUUUUGUAUGAUCAAAUAAAAAUCAGUUAGGUUGCAGUAGCCAACACAAGAUAACUAAAAACAGAACAAAUUCCAUGAAAAGUUCACUAAAAAGUCUUUAAAAAUAAUUGCUUUGUACUAUAAAAAUUAAAAAAAAAAAGUGUUCCCGCACACUUUGAUGUACUUAAUUUUUUUGUCUCAACCUCUCAAUGGUAGUCAAAAAGUUUUCAAACAACCAACUUUGAUCUCGUAAAUUUAGAUUUAGAUAAACAUAUGCAAAUCUACCACAUAUCUUAUUCUAACUAUUAAAAGUAAUGCUUUCCAUGAUUUUCUUAAGUAAUAAGAAAUUUGUAGUGUUUUGAUUGCCUCAAAAAAUCCCAAGAUCUUUGUCAAGAUAAAUUCAAGUUGCAUAUGAAUCAAAUGACCAACCUUGAUGACUCAAUGAUUAACAAGAACCUAGUAAACGAAUUUUAGAGACCAGAAACACAAGUAUCAAGCCAAAUUGGCAACCAAAACACACAGAAAAGAAGACUGAUUUUACGUGGUUCAAUUGUGCAAAGAAGCACAAUCUACCAGAAUGAGUUUUUACUGAUGAUUGAAGUUGAAUUUAUAGAGCUUUUACAGAAUAGAUGACAAGGAACGGGAUGACUCUUUCUCUCUGUCUCUUAUAUCUCUCUAGAACGCUCUUAAUUCCUCACUGAAACUGCCUCAACAAUCAGCUUUGUAUAACAGCCGAUAACAAACCGGAUUGCACCAGUUUCUGCCACGUGGAUAACGGCCUGCAACAAUCUUGAUUCCCCCUCACAUGCUUAAUCACGUGCAUGACUUAAGUCUGAGCCAAAACGUCUUCAUGUCUUGCCGGUUAUUAAGUGAGUCACACGUCCAUCACGUGACAGCUUGAAACAAAUUGAUAGGCAAAACGAUGCCGUUUCACAUGUCCAAGUUUUAAAUUCAGCAAAUUAGUCCACAAAAUUAAAGUUAUUUAUUUUUUUUUUAUCCAAGGACAACUCUUUGCUCAAACCAAAAACUCUUGAUCUUGAACAUCUUUAUAAUCACAGAGAGCCACCUGAAGCUUGGCUGCUCAUCAGCCUCGCUUGGAUUCAACCACUUGAGAGGACACCAACAUUAAUUUUUGCAUCUGAUGUUCUGCCAAUAUUUCCCUCGUCAAUCCUUCCGCAUUGGAAGCAUAAAACAUUAAAGAAAACACUGAUAAUAAAAAAUUAAGUGACAAUUCAAAAUGUUAUACAGUUAAUGUUAAUUAUUAAACUCUAACAAGACAAGAAAGAAAUUAAGAACAUUAAUUGUGAAAAAAAGUGAAAUAUUGAUUCAAAAUUAUAGAUCUUAAUGUAUGAAGCUAUAAAGGAAACGCCCAGAGGAUCUGUUUUGUGAUGAAAAUUUAAAAUUUAUGUUUUAAAAUAAUAAUAAUAUUUUGAAAAUUUGCACAUGUAAAAAAAUAUAGAAAUGUGUGAAUAUGUUUUCAUUUAGGUGGUAAUUUUGCUCGCCUAAUCAUAAUUCUUUUUUAUGUUGUAUGAAAAUAAAAAAAAUAAUUGAAUAUUAUUUAGAGAUAUAUACUAAAUAAUUUAUUAAAAAAAGUUUACAAUCUAUAUACAAAUUAUGAUCUAUAAUUUAAUGAGAUUCUGUAUAAUUGCACUUUAAAUUGAUAGUACAAUCCAGAAGUUUUUCGAAAAUUAACUUGGAAAUCUACUCUCAUAAAUAUACAAAAAGAUAUGUACGGUAUUUUAAAUUAAAAAUAUAAUAUUAUAAUUCAUUAUUAAUUUGGUUUGUAUUAAUGGGAAUCUUCCUUGCAUUCUUCUUUUAGUUGUGCCAAGGAUAUCCUUGAAAAGGAAAUGCUUCCUCAUGUUCCUAUGACUGAAUUCUCUAGAACUAAGAAAGCUUAUUAUUUUGGGUAACUAUAAUCCUUCUAUAUAUUAUCAUUGUCAUUACUUUAGAGUAGUUACAGAUCUUAUUGAUCCUUUCUUCAGCUAUAUUAUACAUCGGCUUCUUCUUUGUGCAUUUGGCCGGUGGGUUAAAGAUGAUAGAUAUCAUUAUGGCAACAAGAGGUUGGACCUUGCUGGUUCAUUACUUAGAAGGCUUGUUUAGGAUGGUUUGUUUCAUUUUUGUGUUGAGGUAGUUGACUUUACUUGUGAUCAUAAGAAUGAAGAUGUAUCUCUUUUCUUUUAACACCCCACUUUUAUAACUAAAAUAAGAUGAUUUAUUUUAAAAUAUUUAAAAUCUCAAUUUUUUUUAAUAUAAAUACGGAUAAUUAAAAAUUUUACAUGAUAAGCAGAAACUUCAUUACAAAAUAUAAGAGACACAUAGAGAUUCCUUAGUAUAUAUUUCAAAACUUCGUUAUUAUGUAAGAGAAUUUAAGAUAUUUAUUUUUUAUAAGAACACAACUAAGCCCAUCACAGUCCAACGGUUUGACAUGCCCAUAUGCAUUUCAUCUUGGUUGGGACUUGGCGUCAGCUUGAUCUACUCAUUAUUACCUACAAUGUAAGGAUUGCAUGAGCCAAUACCUAGUAAGAUAACAUGCAAGUAUAAAUUGUUAUGCACAUAGAUGAGCUUAUGAACAUUAAAUCUCUAAAAGAAACAUAGAAAUAUAAAACAACUUUGUUAGGGCCCUACGUACAUUGCACGGCAAAGUUGGCAAUUUUCAUUCUUUAAAAUAGCAUCCCCUUAGGCCUAAAUUAAUAAUUGAUCUUUGGGCAUUGCAUAUCGCCGUCCCCAAAAGAUUACUCUUUAUUUAGCUUUGAGGGCUUGCCCUUCUUGGAAAUUUUACCACCCCAGUAGUACAACAAUCCAUUGUUCAAGACUCAUUUUUAAAAAUGUCUUCUUUGUAAAGUAAUCUUAACAUAUUAACAUGAAAUGCAUGUGUUCAAUGCAACCUAUAUCAUGACAUGUAAUUUUCCUAGAUAUAUAACAAAGCCAACCAUACAAAGUUUUCUAAAGACAACAAUCUUUAGUAUAGGCAGCAGUGCCGUCCAUAUAAAGAUUAAAUAAAAAAUGUUAUUAUAAUAUAGAUGGGAGAGUGGACUAGGGGUGGCAAAAUAACCUAGACCCGGCCCGGACCCGGAUGAACCCAGAUUAUCCGGUGCAGGUUGAACCAGGUCCAGAGAUAAAAAUAAUGCGGAUCCGGAAUUCAUUUUAUAAACCCGGACAUAUCCGGGUCCGAAUCCAGGUUUACGUAAACCCAGAUCUCCGAAACCCAGACCCGGCUAUCUUGAUUUUAAAAUUUAUUAAAUAAUUAAUUUUAAGUUAUUAAAUCUAAGUAUAAAAGCAAAAAAAAAAAAGGAAAAGAAAAGAAACCCUAAAACAAACUGCAGCCGCAGCAGCCCUGUUUCUCCUCUUCUCUCACCUUCUUCAAUCUUCACGCCACAAAGCCCAAAUUCAUCAUCGUCAAUUUGUCAUCAUCCUUGUCAAUAUUCAAGUAAUUCCCAAGCAUCAUCAUCAACAGCUCAUCAUCAUCCUCAAUAUUCAAUUCAUCUCGUCACCGUUCUUCUUCACUAAUUCGUCGCGUCGCCGUCCAUGAUUCACCAUCGUCUUCAUCGCGUCACCAUUCAUCUUGAUUACAUCGUCAACAUACAUGCUUCUUGGGAAUUAAUAGUGCUCUGAGGUGAUAUUAACAUAUGUGGGUCAACUUUUAUCUUUAAAUCAUGAUCAUUUCAAUUCAUUUAUAUUCAAGUUGUCUCGAUUGUAAAGAAUCUAUAAUCCUUUAAUUCAUUGGUGCUUGUGAUUUGAACUCUUUCUGGAAUUUUUCAUAACCUGAAACGGGUUUAUGUUUUUCAGUUCAUUCAGUUAUCCGGGUUUUAAACCUGACAUCCGGAAACUCAAAUUUCUUCGAGUUGAACCCGCACUGGACCCGGAGCCAAAAAAUCCAGGUUUAUAUCCGGAUCCGAAAUGUAAAAUUGCCAUCCGGGUCCGAAACCGGGAAGGCUAAACCCGGACCUGGACCCGGAUUUUGCCAUCCCUAGAGUGGACCAUAUCAUAAUUAAAUAAAAAUAUCACAGUAUAGGCAUAGCCAACCAUAUAAAAAUUAAAUGAGAAAAUAUGAAAAUAUAGGCGGCAUGGCUGACCAUAUAAGGAUUAAAUAAGAAAAUAUCAAAUAUAAGUGGCAUAGCCAACCAUAUAAAGAUUAAACAAUAAAUAAUCACAUCAUAGUAGUCAUCAUAAGAUAAAAAAAUAAUUAAAGAUGAAUUUAAGUAUGGAAAGAACAUUAUCCGUAAACUACAGUUGAAGUGUUACUUACCUCUUAAUCUUGACUUCUCUAGGCCCUCAUAAUUUGAGGAUUUCUCUAUUGUUUGAUGUUAUUACUUAGAAUAGAAAAGGACAGAAUUUCUAAAGUGAUAUAGAAAAUGAAAGGGCUAGGGGUACUUUUAGGAUUUACUAAAGCUAAUGGAUGGUUAGGAUUUUGCCAUUAUAACUUUUGAUUAAUGGUUGAGAUUUAUCCUUCCAUAAAUAUCUUUAUAAAUUCUAGAAUUUAUAAAUAUUUUAUAGAUAUCUUGUUGCAUAAUUACUUAUGUCAUCGCUUAUGUCAUCAUUACUCUAGAAUUUUCUAUCAUAAAUAUUUUCUAUUAUUAUUAUUUUAAUAGGUAAGGGGAUUUAUUAGCCUAAAAAUUAAUUCUACUAUAUUCAAAUGAGAAAUUUAUAUCUCACAAUUUCCUCCCCAUUAAGAAAAUUUUAUGCUCGAAAUUGAUUUAUUGAAUAGCUCAGGAUACUUAUUCUUCGUAUUUUCUUCACGUUCCCAUGUUGCCUCCCCCAUCGAGCUAUUUCGUCAUAGUAUUUUAACUAGAAAAAUCUUCUUGCUUUUUAUCUCCUUUAUCUUUCUAUCAAAUACUUGGAUUGGACGUUCUCCAUAGGUUAAGUUUUCUCCUAGUUGAAAAGCCUUAUAAUCUAGCACAUGAGAGGGGGUUUGUAACAUAUUUCUUUAACAUGAAGAUAUGAAAAGACAUUGUGUAUCCUUGACAAUGGUAGAAGAGCAAGUCGGUACGAAACGUUCUUGACAUAUUCAAGUAUUUCAAAUGGUCCAAUAAACCUCGAAAUUAAAUUUCCUUUUACAAAUACCUUAUCACCAACUUGAAAUUCUGAAGGCCUUAAGCUCUUAUCUACAUGACUUUUCUGUUAACUUUGAGCUGCCUAUAUUCUUGGACGUAUUUUCUCGAUCGCCUUAAAUGAGACAACAAUGAGGCCGGGCCCAAGCUACCUUUGCUCGCCCAUUUCAUUCCAAUGAAUAGGUGACCUACAUUUUUUACUAUAUAGAGUUUCGUAGAGUGCCAUGCCGAUUAUUGCUUGAUAGCUAUUAUUGUAGGCAAAUGCAACCAAAGGUAGAUAUUUGCUCUAUGAUAUUUGAAAGUCGAUAGUGCAUCCCUGUAAUAUAUCUUCUAGUGUUUAGAUCGUUGUUUCUAACAGACCAUUUGUUUGAGGGUAAAAUGUUGUACUAAAUUUUAAUUUUGUUCUCAUAGCUCUAUGUAACUUUUCCUAAAAUGUUGAGGUGAACCUUGUAUCUCGAUCAAAGAUAAUAGAAAUAGGUACACCAUAUAGUCUUACUAUCUCCUUUAUGUAUAUUGUUGUGCAAAUUUUAAUGUACUCGCAAGCGCACGAAUCUAUUAUAGUAUAGACUAAUGGUGACAAGUGUCGAUCCCACGAGGAGGUGGAUUUUAAUUGUGUGUAGAAUUAAUUUUGUAAAUGGGUGAUUGGAUUUGUGGUGGAAAUGAUUUGGAAUAUGCUAAAACUUAAAUUAAAAUGGUGAGAAUAAAUUCUAAAAUUAGAAUUGAAAUGGCGAGAAUAAAUUGAAGAGAAUUCGAUUAAAAUGACGUACUUGGGUAUCUGGAUCCGUAUCAACAUGCAUCAUGGGUUAAAUAAUCCGUAUUAAUACCAAUUAAAUCAUGAGGGGGGAAUCCACAUCUCAUGAACCACGCUCUAAUCAAUAUGGUGCUAAGGGCUUAUCGUGCCAAAUAAUAAUAACUUUGUACUAGAGGGCCGGUGAAACCAAUGCGGUACUAGACAAGAAUAUUAUUAUUUGUCAACGAGAAGUCAAAACAUCCAUAAAAACUAGAGGGGAAGAGAAAAUAAAUUUACCAAAUUAAGCCCAUGACACAUGUUGAGAUUUCACCUUCAACCCAAGCUUGAAAGAAAAUUAGCCACUCAUAAUUGAACUAGGGGCAAAAUGAGAAUUUAUUAAAAUACGAAGAAAAUACAAGAUGGAGAAAGAAUUACAGAAAAUGGAUCCCAAAAAUGGAUUCAGAGAUAUCAAAUUAGGGGGGGGAGGCCCCUUUUUAUAGAUACAUGAAGUAAAUCAUGGCCAUCGGAUUAAAAACAGUUUGGACGCUCAGGAUUGCGCCACAUCAUCAGUCAACAGUAUGCGAUUUGACCACGCGGAUGAACAGUAACACGGUUUGACCCAGGUGAACAGUGAUGCGGUUUUGUUGAAAAUAAUCCUGUGUGAUGCAUAUACCGUACGCGAGAUUUUUGGUCCAGUGAUAUGCUGCCACGUCACCAUCAACAGUACAUAAGAAUUUUAGUCCAACAGGAUCGUGACACCUCAUCAGUCAAUGCCACAUCAUCGGUCAAUGCCACGUCAUCGUCCAUCUAUGUGAACAGUGCCGUGAAUAGUAACGUAUACAGUACCGUACACGUGAAUAGUACCGUACAUGUGAACAGUGCCAUUUUUCUUUUUAUGCUCCUCCUAAGGUUUUCGACCGUCCUGAGUUCAAAAGUGAUGUCCGUUUUGCCAUCUGAUCUCUCGUUUAUUGUGAAAUGACUACGAUGCCCCUAAAAUAUAUAAAAUACUUAAUUAAAAUAAAACACACGGAAUUAAAUUAAAAGAAGGUUAAAUUUAUAAAAAUAAAGGUGUUAGUAAAACUUGUAGUGUAAAAUUACGAUUUUCUCCUUUAUAAAUAUACAUUUUCUAACACUCAACAUAUAUUUCUGCAAAUUGGUUUAUAGUGCACGUCAUUCAAAUAGGUAAAAAGUGGGCAGACUUUAUGAGUCAAUUGACGAUAAGCCAAAUGACAUCAUGCAUUUCUUUUUCAAUUUUUUUAUUACUGUUGGUAUUUAUGCAAGUUUUUAGAAAGUUAAACUGGAAUGUGAAAGCUUAUGUGAAGAAGGUUCUAAGUAUUUGUUGCUUUCUUUCUUUUUUCCUUUUUGUUUGAUUUGAAUCACUUUUUUCAUUUCUUCUGGUUUGCACUCAUGCAGUUCAUCCAUUUUGUAAAUGUUGGAUAAGGAUCUAUAUGUUAAUUUGCAAUAUGCUAUUUUAGCUAAAACAAUUACCCAUGGUAUAUAAAGUAUUCUUUAGCUACCGGUAAUUGGGGCCAGCUAGAUGCGUUUAUUACAAGAACAAAAGUGUCAAAGAUUUUUUUAUUUUUGAUCCAUUUAUUGUGGUCUUUCACAAAUGUUGAAUUACAUGACAUGCGCCUCUACCUUGUCGCAUUUGCGAACACUGUGUUCUCCCACAGGGCAAAAAGGUAAACUACUUAUUGUUGUGCAUGAUUUUGUUUUAUUGAGGAUUCAUUCAUGCUUAGUUUUGUUUUUCUUUUAUGCAUCACCAUGUUGUUAUUUUGUUAAUUUGUUGCAUAUAAUUAAUUGUUUUCACUUUAUUUUUCUAAAGAAGUUUUCAUUUACUAGGUACACAAGUAAAACCUAAGCUGGCACAUAAUACACAAUGGGUUAAGAUUUGUUCCUUUCCAACACUUUUAGGACAAGUAAGUUAAAAUUGUGCUUAUAGGAUAUAUCUAUAAUAUCUAUUUCUGAUUGUAGCUUACAAGAAUUUGUUUUGGUUAAUCCAGGCCUGUGGACUAGUGAAGAAUCUUGCUUUGAUAGUCAAUGUAACCCUCGGCUCAUUAGUAUUUCCCAUUAAUGAGUUAUUAGAAUAUGAGCCAAUAGUAGAAGCCAAGGUGCAUUUUGUAAUUUAUGGCACUUAGACGUUAAUUAUACAUAUUUCAUUUAUGGCAUUUAGACGUUAAUUAUACAUAUUUCAUUCACAUUAUUUCAAUUUUCUCUUAAUUCUAGGAUGCUACUGCAAACUUUUUUCUACAAGCUACAAAAUUUUUUGUCAAUGGUUGCUGGGUGUCAUGCAUGAUGUUGGUUCAUUGGUCCAAGCUUUGAGACACUUGAAAAGAAAUGUCAUUAUACUUGUAUUUCAUCUAUUCGUAAAGAAACCUCCGUAUUAAAAGUUGGCAAACCUAUUGGUGUACUCUAAACUUUCUUUAGUAUUAUUUAUGCCAUUUCUGAACUAUUUUGUUUGUCUACCCAUGUACAUGACUUUAUAAAUGCUGCAAUUGGGGUUUCUAGGGAUAUCCAUUCAAAAGAAUUGUGUAUAUACACUGAUUUUGGUCGUUGUUGUCGUCCAUUGCUUAUUGUCCAGAAUCAAAGGCUUCUUAAAAAGAAGAAAGAUAUUGACGCCUUCUAUGACAAGGUUAGCCAAAUAGUUCUCUCUCUCUUUUUUAUUAAUGAUUUGUCUUUUCUGUAGUUACAUGACUUUUAUCUUGUUAAUCUUCUAGAAAUCUUUCGAAGAUGGUUGUUGGUGUGACCUUUCUAAAAAAAGGGUUUAUAGAAUAUAUUGAUCCAUAAAAAGAAGAAACCAUAAUGAUUUGCAUGACAAUCAAUGUGAAUAAAAUGGUAUUGGUUGGUCGAAAACCUGUUAUCGUGAGACGUAAUUUUUAAGUUGCUAAAAAUUUGAUUAACACAAAUUUGUUUCAGGAACUUGUAAAUGCAAAGCUUCAUCUAGAGGAGGCUACUUCUAAUGCAUACACGCAUUAUAAGAUUCAUCCAUCCUUGAUAUUGGGAGCUUAUGCUUCAAUUAUACCAUUUCCCGACCAUAAUCAGGUGCGUCAUGCUUAUGACAUUUCUCUGGUAAAAUAUGUUUAUAUAUUGACUCAAUCUCACCAAUUUUUUCUUUCUUUUUCUUGAUGGGGUUUGCUUUUAGUCCCCAUGUAAUACGUUUCAAGCUGUAAUGAGCAAGUAAGUAAUUGGAAUCUAUGCUACAAACUACCGAUGACAUAUGAUACUGUAUUUGGUUUCAAUUUUUUUGUGAUUGGAAGCUCAUUUUCAGCAUGUCAUAUAUAAUGAUAUUAUUUUUCCUUUAUAUGAAUUAGGAUGCUUUAGCCUAUGUUCUUUACUACCCUUAGAAACCACUACUUGCUGGGACGCCAUAAAAUCGCUUCAAGUUAACCAACUUCCUACUGGUGUGGUGAGUAUAUAAUUUAAUGUUGUGUUAUUGUUGCUCCUUAUGAUCAUAGUUUUCUUAUAAUCUUUUUGUCUCUGUUAUUUGGCAUUAGAAUGCAAUAGUCACUAUUGCCUGUUAUGAUGGCUAUCAUCGAGGAAGUUCUGUUGUUAUGAACCAGUCAUCUAUGGAUUAAGGAUUAUUUCGAUCUCUUUUCCUUCCAUACAUCUAGGUAAGCUGUUGUUGAGACAUUUUGUAUCUUAAUUAACACGACUCAAAAGUAUUGAUUACUUCUGAGUAUAAGAGUGUCUAAUUAUAAUAUAAUCCAGUGAGUUGGGGUUGAUCCACAAGGAAUCUAUAAAUCUAGUAGUCAUUAUUAAAAGGGAUAUUAUCAUUUUACUAUUAAAGUUAUUCUGACAUAUCAUGUCAAUAGCAUGAUUUGCCGAAAAGUACAUUUUACUAUCAAACGUUUGUGCCGUUAUCAAUUCACUACUAUUCCGUUAAGAAUUUUAUGCGGUGUCCUUUGCGCCAGAGGUUUCAGCUGCGAUCCAAGAGAUUCUAAACUCUAAUUUGUUGUCGUCUGACUUCUUUUGCUCAUGGAUUUUAGAUAAAACUUCUGCGCUAAGUCUUGUUCAAAGUAUAAGUAUAGAAUUGAACUUGAUUCUGACUGAUUCCAUUGUUAAAAUGCAUGAGUUGUGUGGCUACUGGCUACUCUCAACUGAUGGUUUGCUGUCAUUGUACUUGUGCGUCAAAGAAGGUUUUCUUAAUAUUGUUGAGGAAAAUGUUGUCAGGUAAGGCUAAUCUGUUCACAUCUUGAAAUAAUUAUUUGAUGGUGAAUAUUUGUUAAAGUUAUCUAUUUUCUUUAUUUCUUAUGAUGAAGUAGAUUUGAUGUUGAGAAGAAAAUUAUUAGUGUUCAAUUGUGUGUUGAGUGAGUGGUUUAAAUGAGUAUUAAGAGUAAUUAAAAAUUAUAUAGUAAUGUUAAAUUGUUCAUAAUAUUAGUUUAACGAAAGACUUCUUAAUUUUUUUAAUAAAAUAUAGUGUUCAAAGUGUAUUUUAUCAAUAAUGUUGACAUUCCUACAUUUGAGUCUUAAUUUUAUGUGUCGCUUGUUCAUUAGAUAAUAUAUUUUACAAUUUAUAAAAUUAUUAUUUUAUUAUACAAUAAAUAAAUGACUCAUCAAUUAGGACUAAAUUGAAACAUAAAUGUUGAAUAUUACGUUUUGUUAAUGUUAAAGUGUAAUGGUCAUGUUAUGUAGCAAAAAUUCAUGUAUUUAUUUUUUAUUUAUUUUAUAAAAAUUCAGUUUUUCAUAUACAUAGAAGUUAGUAAAUUGAAAUUGUUUCUAUUAAACUGUUGAAGUACAGGUGUGCAUUUGCUAUAUAUAUGAUUUUUUCAGAAUCUUUUAGUUAAAAAAAAAAAGACUCGUACUUUGAUAGGUAAUUAAUUAGAAAAAAUAAAUAAAGAAGAAAGGUGGCAACUUAAGUGUAAUUUCAUUAAAAAUAAUGGAUCCCUCUAAGUUACAUGCAUGUACCUUACACCCCUCUCACAUGAAUAGUGAGUGGACCCACAUCAUUCACUAUUUAUGUGAGAGGGGUGUAAGGUACAUGCAUGUAACUUAGCAUUAGCCUAUAAUUAAAUAUUUUGUUGAUAAUGAGACAAAAAGUUAUUUUAUGUGAUUUUGAAGAAACAAACGAGUAAUGGACACAUGUCUAAUGUACAAAGAGUAGGCGAGUAAGUCGCACUGACCGUAACACUAUUUAUAUAUACUGUUGCGGACCCGCCUGAGUUACAGUUCACGUAACACUACUCGACUUUUCUGGCUUCUUAAUGUAAACUAUCGUUGACCUCCUUGUACUUUAUAUUAUUAAUAAUUUAUUCAUAAGUAUAUAAAAUUUUCUGUAUUGUAAACUUUUGUUGAGCCCCUUGCACUUUAUUUUAUUUUAUUGAAACCCUUAGAGUAUCAAAUUCGCCCCUAUAAUUUUUAAAUUCCCAAAAUACCCUCUAUUUACUUAAAAAUAUAAUAAUUAUUAAAUGUAUUAUUAUUAUAAUUAUAAUAAUUAUUUUAUUAUAAUUAUCAAUAUAAUUAUAAUUUUUAAAUAGAUUAUUAUUAUUAUCAUUAUUAACAAGAAUAAAAGUAUUAUAAUUAAUUAAUCUAUUAACGAUAAUUAAUAAUAAUUUUUCAGUUAAAUUAAUAAUUAUUAUUAUUAAUUAAUUUUGAAUAAUAAUAUUAAUCAAAAUAAUUAAAAUAUAAAAUAAUUAUUAUGAUAAAAAUUAAUUAAGAAUUUUAUAGUAAUUUGUUACAAUUUAACUCAUUCCGAUUUUGAUUCUAAAACAAAGUAAAUACAUAAAUGUUUAUACAACUCAUUCUAAUUAUGAUUCCUCCAGUUCAAGUAAAUAAAUUAUUUUGAUUCUAAUUUCUCAUUUUGAUUCUAUCUAUUCCAAUUUUAACUCAUUAUGUUUUCAGUUAAUUUUGAUUCCUAUUUAGUGAAUGCACUAUAAAAUUGUAAACCACUCUAUAUUCAACUAGAUCACUCUAUAUUAUUUACAAUUUAUUCAUAAGUAUUAUGAAACUUUCUUCUUACCUAUACUAUAAAAAUUCAAUUUAUCUCCCUACACUCUUUUUCGUUUACUAUUUUUUUAUAAGUGUCAAAAGAGUGUUUACAACCAUGACACAUUAGUUAUCAUAGCACACUAAUAUUAAUAAAAAGUUUUUUAAGAAUAUUACCAUUCAUCUUUUAUAUAAUAUAUUCUCAUAAUAAUUAAUACUUUCAUGAUAAAAGGAUUAACAAAAUAAAAAGCAAAUUCCCUUUGAAUCCAUCCGUCUCCACCAUUAACUUCUCUUUAUCAGCAACCUUCAUCGAUAAUUGAAGUCACCAUUAGACUCAUCAAAGAGAAAGAGAGUACGAGAGGGGAAGAAGAAAUGGGAAAAAAAUACGAGAUGUUCACAAUUUUAUAGUGCAUUCAUUAAGAAAGAAUCAAAAUUAGCUGGAAAAAUAAUGAGUUAUGAUUGAAAUGAGGAAUUGGAAUCAGAAUAAUUUAUUUACUUAAACUGCAUUAAUCAUAAUUAGAAUGAGCUGUAUUACCAUUUAUGCGUUUAUUUUGUCUUAGAAUUAAAAUCGGGAUGAAUUAAACAAAUUACUAUAAAAUCCUUAAUUAAAUUUUAUCAUAAUUAUUAUUUUUUAUUUUAAUUAUUGUGAUUAUUAUUAUUAUUUAAAAAUUAAUUAAUUAAUAAUUAUUAUUAUUUUUAAUUAUUAUUAUUAUUAACAAUUUAACUAAAAAAUUAUUAUUAAUUAUUUUUAAUAGAUUAAUUACUUAUAAUACUUUUAUUCUUGUUAAUAAUAAUAAUAAUAAUAAUCAUCAUCAUCAUCAUCAUCCAUUUAAAAAAUAUAAUUAUAAGUAUAAUCUAUUUAAUAAUUAUUAUAUUUUUUUAAUUAAAUGGAUGGUAUUUUGGAAGUUUAAAAAUUAUAGGGGCGUAUUUGAUACUCUAAAGGUUCUAGUUAAAUAAAACAGAGUAUAAGGGGUUCAACGAAAUUUUAUAAUGAAGAAAUUUUCAUAUACUUACAAAUAAAUUGUAAAUAACAUAGAGGGUAAGGGGUUCAAAGAUAUUUUACAUCAAGAAGCCAGAAAAGACAAAGACAAAGUAGCUGCAGGUUACGUGAACGGUAACUUUAGGAUGGCAAUGGGAUGGGGUGGGGGUGGGGAGGCCUAUCCCAUUUUCCACCCCGUUAAAAAUUUUAGCUUCUAUUUCUCACCUCAUUUCUUAAUAAAUUUAGUGGGGUGGGGAUGGAGAUUCUCCAUGUGGGGAAUGAUUUCUCUAUCCCCACCUCAUUUCUCAUUUAUCUAUUUUAUAAUAUAUAUAUAUAAAUAUAUUAUUUUAGUAAGUUAAAAAUUAGAGACUUAAAAUAAAAUGAUCAUCAUAUUAUAAAGUAUUUAAAUUAUUUUUAAAAAAAAUCUAAAAGUUUAAAACAAUAUCUUAAAAUAAUAUUAAAAGUGAAAAAUAUUUAAAGAGUGUAUCACCUUAAAAGAGAAAAGAAAAUAUAACAAUGUUUCAGAGUUGAAAAAUAUUAUAAGAUUUUCUUUCAUUCAUAUCUUGCUUAUAUUGUAUAAAAAUUAAAAAAAAUAUUAAUUGACAUUAUAAUUGAUAAAAUUAAAAUUAUUAAACAAGAAUUAAAAACAUAUUUAUAUUUAAUGGGGAUUGGGGUGGGGGUGGGGGUGGGCUGGGGAGUACAAAACCAAACCCCACCCCAUUAAGAAUUUGGGGAUUAUUUUUACCCCACUCCCCACCUCAUUUCCCAAAAAUUUUUAAAAUUUUCCCCAUUUGGGGUGAGGCUCCAUGGAGCCCCAAACCCGUGGAGGAUUUUGCCAUCCCUAGGUAACUUAGGCGGGUCCACUUUAAUGUUACGGUCCCGGUCUUAUGUACUUUAUUCACAAAGAGCAGUGUUAGGCGCACAGAAGGGAGAGAAAGAUGAGAGAAUUCUAUUCUCUCUCUAUCCUCUCACUCACUCUCUACCAUUUUUUUUUUAUUUCUCUCAUUUUUUCUCGUAAUUCUCUUCACCAAGCAUUUUUCAUUCACAAAAGGGGCACUGAAUUAUUUAAUUUUGUAGGGCAGCUGCAGCUUGCGGAGUCCACACGGUGUUCAAUCUUAUCAAUUCCUCUGAGGCUCUGGACUUAUUGUUUCCAUAAUUCAACAAUUUUUUUUUGUUCUGCAUGCUCUCUCUUUCCCUUUUGAUCCGGUUUCCCAUGGCAGAGCUCUUACUCUCAGCUUUCUUUCAGGCUUUCUUUGGCAAGCUGGCUUCCCGUGAUUUGAUUAACUGAGGAGGGGUUGAUUCUGAGCUGAAGAAGUUUGAAAACACUUUGAAGAUGAUUCAGGCUGUCCUGAGGGACGCAGUGGAGAAGGAACUAACGAGUGAGACUGUGAAAUUGUGGCUGGACAAUCUCCCUAACUUGGCUUAUGAUGCUGAGGGCAUGCUGGACUAGUUCGAUACUGAAGCUUUGGGGCUUGUAAAUUAAAGAACCUAGUCCCUUCUUGUUUCAACAUUUCCGGUGGUUUCAACAGCUUCCGUAUGCUUUCUAAUACCUGGAGAAUUUGAAGCUCCGGCACUUAUGCUCCCAAGCCUUUAAAUCCCACAAACAUAUUCGGGGAAUUAGUGCAUGACAUUCAUUUGUGGUCUCCAAAAACAGGUUGAUGCCGGGGCGUUGAUACCGAACACCUCUGCAAUUUGGAUGCAGGGAAAUUAUUUUUUUGACACACAAGCUUCAAACUGUUAAAGCUCUACCCUGCAGGAAUGCUGUAUAUAUCAAAUUCCAAAAACAAAUUAGAAUUGCUGCUUCCUGUGAGGCACCAUACCAAGAUCUGCUUUUGUAUUCAUUCAAUCAGAUCAAUCAUAUGGAUUGUCAACUUUCAAGGUUACGAUGGACUAUGAGUGAACAGAGGAGUUGGAAGAAGAAUUAUUAAGAACAGAGCAAAAACUGAGAAUCAGAUAGAGGAAGUUGGCAAUCAUUGAAGAAGAGGCAGCCUACAUUGCUUUAGUUAAUGAUGAAAACUGUCAAGAUGCUCUUAGUUUGUAUGUUAAUAUGAUUGAAGUAUGGGAGAAAGUACAUUUGUCUAAUUUUUUUGACUUUAUUGCCCCCCCCCCCCAAAAAAAAAAAAACUCAAUCUUCAAAUCAAAAUCUCAUCUUCGAACCAACUUGAUAACAAAAUAUUAUUAUUGUUUGUUACUACUUGACAAGAAAUUGCUAAAAUGUUUAUUUAUUACGAAAAGUUUUGAACCAAGAUCAGAAAAUGACCAAUCUUGUUGCCACAAGACCUCACUAAACUCUCUGAUUAUUCACCAAGGGACAAAAGAAAUUAACAAUUGAAACAAACAGAAACGGAAUCAAAGAAAUCACAAAGAAAGAGCACACACAACAAUUAUAGAGGACUCAGGCAAAAAGGCUUUAUUGCCAUUUUUGGAGAAUAUAGUUAAUCCAGGUGCGUUGCACGUGCAUUAGCUGAAUCAAAAGGCAUUAUGGCCGUUACAAGAAGCGGGAAAGAUGUGUCUGGUAAGUGAGGGAUCUUUCCAUGUCAAUUGCGAGCUGUAUACAAAGCCUUUGAGGCUGGAGUUGGGUUUCUUCUGUAGCUUGUAAAAAUUUCUUCACCGCUGUAAUUUGUUCUUGAUUGAGAGGACGUUGGUUGGUGAUUGCACGUGCCUCGCAGGUGAGUCACUUAUCGCACACAGCUGACAUAUGAUCGUUGUCGUACGCAUCAUGUAUAAGACAACCGACAUGGCAUCCAGAAACGAUGGUACAGCUAGAGCUAGCAAAACGGAUCAUCGGGUCGUGUACGUGUCGUGUCAAAUUUAGGUCCACCUAAACCUAAUUCAUUUAAUAAUUGUGUCAAAAUAUUGAGACUCAAACCCGAUACGAAAAAAUAAUUGGGUUACCCAAUAACCCACUUAAUAUCUAUAAAUUAAAUAAAAAUUACAUUAAAUAUUUACACAUUGUCAUACAUACGUAUGCACAUGCAUAUAUACAUCCAUACAUAUAUACAUAAUUUAUCGAUAUUAUAAAAUAUACAUAUCUACUAAAAUAUUACGUACACUAUUGAUGUUUUAAUUAUAUAUAUGUAAAUAAUAUUAUAUAUCAAUAUUAUAAAAUAUACAUGUCUACCAAUAUUUUAUACAUUUACAUUAUUAAAGCUCUAAAUAUAUUUAAAAUUUUAUAAAUAAAAUAUUGUGUCUAUAUUCAUCCUUUUAAAGAAUAAAAAUAAAAAAGAAAAUUAUUUCUAAUAUUUGAGUUUUGAUGACAAGAAUCUGUAAUUUAUUUUAAAAUAGAAAAUAUAAUUAUGUCAUUGAUUAGAUAAAUGGGUCAAGAAUUUUAACCAUAACCUUAUACGAAAAAAAAUUAUAUUGACUCAGACCCAACUUAUUUAAUAAUCGUAUUAAAUUCGACGAUACAUACCUAUUUAUUGGUGUCAUACUCGUAUCGAGUAAUUAAAGUUUACCAGUUCUAGGUACAGCAACUCUUAUUUUCAUAAACAGCCUUUUUGUCUUCUCUCCUUUUUUAUUUUUGCCCUUUUUUAACUUUUUUUUUUUGUCCUUUUUUAACUAACAAUUAGUAAUACUACCAAUUACAUGUGACAACUGUAAGGAGUUCAUUGUCAACAAAAUAAUUGAGUCCAGAGAUUUGUUGUACCAUACUUGACAAAAUUCAACAUUCUAAUAAAUGCUGAAAAGUGGAAACGGAACAAUUGCAGAGCGCCGGUGGAGCUCACCCGGCUAGAAGAUUAACAAAUUUCCUCCAUUAUUGUAGCCUAAAGACUUUUGAAGGCUAGAGACUUGCUCCGAAAUUUCAGCAUCCAUUUAGAUCGAGUAAAAACCAUCUUUCUCGGACGAUUACGAAGCAAUGGCUGUUGAAGAGCUCUUACUGUCUGCCUUCUUUCAAGUGUUGUUUGACAGAUUGGCUUCUGGUGAUUUUCUCACCUUUGUGGGUCAACUUCGAGGCGGGCUGGAUUCCGAGCUCAAAAAGUGGGAAAAAACUUUGAUAAUGAUACAGGCUGUGCUCAGUGAUGCAGAGGAGAAGCAACUGACGGACAGGGCUGUGAAGAUCUGGUUCGAUGAUCUCCGAGACUUGGCUUAUGACGCAGAGGACAUUCUUGAUGAGUUUGCUACUGAAGCUUUGAAGCAGAAGACGAUGGCAGAAAAUUCGAACCACAGUCCUGCUUGUUUCAACUGUUUUAGUCCAAGUUCUGUCAAGUUUAAAAUCGACAUGGAUUCCAAGAUUAAAAGUAUCACUAGCAGGUUGGAUGAACUAUGUGCUAAAAGAAUUGUACUUGGAUUGCAAUUGAUUCCUGGAGGGAUAUCAAAUGCCUGGAAGCGAAGACCGCCGAGUUCAAGUGUGCCAACGGAACGGGCUGUCUACGGCAGAGAUGAGGAUAAGGCCAGAAUACUUGAAAUGGUGUUAAGUGAUGAUCCAACCGCUGACGCCAACUUUCGUGUAAUACCAAUUGUCGGCAUGGCAGGGGCUGGAAAAACAACGCUUGCUCGGGAGGUCUACAAUGACAGGGCUGUGCAAAAUUUCAAGUUUGAUGUGAAAGCAUGGGUUUGUGUUUCUGAUGAUUUUGAUGUUGUCAGCAUUUCGAGGGCUCUUCUCGAGUCAAUCACCUCCACAACUUGUGAUCUCAAGACGUUGAAUGAGGUGCAGGUUAAAUUAAAAAUUGCUGUGGAUGGAAAAAGGUUCUUGCUAGUAUUGGAUGACGUUUGGAAUGAGAACUACAACUUGUGGGAAAUCCUGAAAGCUCCCUUCAUGGCUGGUGCACCAAAUAGCAAAAUAAUUGUCACGACACGUCAUUCAAAUGUUGCAUCGACGAUGGGAUCCGUUGAACAUUAUAAUCUUAAGCUUCUGUCAGAUGAAGAUUGCUGGUCUGUUUUUGUGAAGCAUGCGUUUGAGAGUAGAGAUGCCGGUGCUCAUCAAUUUUCAGAAUUAUUUCGUAAGAAAAUUGUGGCAAAGUGCGGAGGCUUACCGUUGGCAGCAAGCACUCUUGGCGGCCUUUUACGCACUAGGCAUACUGAUGAUGCGUGGGAGGAUAUAUUGAGCAGCAAAAUGUGGGAUUUGCCUCAACAAACUGACAUUCUCCCCGUGUUAAGGUUGAGUUACCAUUAUCUUCCUUCUC